RNAcentral lists this long non-coding RNA (50701 nucleotides) under Hordeum vulgare. RNAcentral describes it as "long non-coding RNA (HVUL_LNC001699)". Lineage: Eukaryota; Viridiplantae; Streptophyta; Magnoliopsida; Poales; Poaceae. The record is from RNAcentral.
UAACCGAAGAGGUGGUCUGGGCGGCCAUUAAAGAAAUGCCCAAUGACAAGGCUCCUGGCCCGGAUGGCUUCACUCGCAUUUUCUUUAAGAAAUGCUUCGACUCCCUUCGUACGAACAACUUGCAAUGGCUCAACUCGGCCAAUGUGAUCCUUCUGCCUAAGAAGGAGGGCGCAGAGGGCCUAUUAACCUCAUUCACACCAUCGCAAAAAUCAUCGCCAAGAUUUUAUCCCUUCGUCUUAUACCACACAUGAAUAUCCUAGUCUCCAACGCGCAGAGUGCGCUCAUAAAGAGAAGGAGCAUUCAUGAUAAUUUCAUGUAUGUUCACAACUUUGCGUGUCGACUACACAAGUGCAAGACACUGGCCCUCUUGUUCAAACUCGACAAUAAAAAGGCUUUUGACUCUGUCAUAUUGGAGUGCGUUCUGGACCUUCUGCAAUGCAUGGGGUUUUCUGGAUAAAUUCUGGAAUUGGAUUGUUGCACCACUCUCCUCUUCAUCCUCGUGUUUCCUCCUCAACGGUCUACCGGGUCCCCCGAUCAGGCAUGGAUGUGGCUUUCGCCAAGGGGUCCCUAUUUCGUUGCUCCUGUUUGUCCUUGCAAUAGAUGCUCUACACAAGAUUCUUGAACUGGUAAUGUGCAAGGGCAUCAUACAUAAGAUCCGAGGUCGAGGGGCCAUGGUGAGAACCUUCCUCUAUGCCGUUGGUGCUAUUGUUUUCAUGGAACCAAUUAAGAAUGAUAUCGACAAUUUAGUUGUGAUCUUAAAAGGGUUUGGUGACCUGACAGGCCUAUGUACCAACUUCCAUAAAAGUUCAGUGGUGCCCAUUUGAUACGUCAAUCUUGAUUUAGUGUGCAUCCUGCAUAGUAUCCCGGCUUCAAGGACGUCCUUUCCAAUCAGAUAUAUGGGCAUUCCGCUUCAGCAUGGCAGUUGAGGAGGGUUGACUUCCAAUGCCUAGAAGACAAGGCACCCGGGAAAUUGGUCACCUCGGACGGGAAAAACAUCACUACCAUUGGACACAUGGCCCUCGUUCGUCCUGCCAUCACCUCACAGGUUGUGUACUCCAUCACACCCCUCAUUGUACCACAGGGCUCCCUCAACAAUCUCAACAAGAUUGAGCGGCCAUUUCUGUGGUCCCGCUCGGAUAAAACUACCGGUGCAAAAUGCAAAGUCAACUGUGACAUUGUAUGUCGACCCCCAAGCUAUGACGGCCUAGGUGUUCUAUACACCGACAAGUUUGCUCGUGCCUUGUGACUGAGAUGGCUAUGAAUGGAAGGAACCGAGCAAACUGCGGGUGGGGCUAGGAAACCCUUGCACUGAGAGGACCACGAUUUCUUUUAUGCCUCCACUAUUAUCAUCAUGGGCAAUGGGGCCAAAACACCUUUUUGGGGCUCGCCAUGGCUGCUUGGUCGCAAACCUAAGGAAAUUGCUCCCCACAUUUUUUAGGCCUUGAGGAGAAAGAACUGGAAGGUGCACAAGUCGCUCAAGGAGAAUGCUUGGAUGCUCAGAAUCAGAAGAGACACCGUCAUCACAGGCCACCAUGUUCGGGAAUUUUUUACCCUCUCGAUGCUCAUUCACGACUUCCAUCUCAACGAGCACUCCAAGGAUGACGUUAUAUGGAAACAUUCUAUGGAUGGUUCAUAUUCGACAUCGACCGCGUACAAGGUGUGGUUCCUUGGGUUGGCGCUCUCCCUCACAGACUUCAUAGUUUGGAAGGUGUUGGCGCCCCCGAAAGUAAAAUUCUUCGCAUGGUUCGCCCUGCAAGAUCGGAUUUGGACCGUCGGUCGGCUUGCGCGGCGUGGUUGGGCUAACCGUGGCUUAUGCCCUCUCUACAAACGGGAACAAGAGACGGACAUCCACCUCUUCGUCAAAUGCUGCUUCACUACUAGGCUUUGGCAUUUGAUCAUCGAUAAAUAUGGUCUACACUUUGCGUAGUUCCUUUUGAAGUGGUGGGAUAGGCGAACCAACUCGAGCAACCCUAAUCGGCGAACCAACUCGAGCAACCCUAAUCGACGUGCCGUGACUUCUUUCACCAUAGUGGUGUCAUGGACAAUAUGAAAUGAGAGGAACGUUAGGGUGUUCCGCCAUAAAAAAUACGACAGGGCAAACCUUUAGGUUACGACGGGGGCAAAGAAACUAGGAAAAAAUGUACUACGCGAGUAAUUGUCAUACCGUUAUUGCGGUGUUUUUAUAACACUACGUAACUCUAUUCUCCUCUCAUUUAAUCGAUGAGACAAAUGACAAAUGUUUUACCUCCGUUUUGAAGAAAAAAAUGCACUUUUCAGUAGAAAAAAAAUAUGAUAAUACAUAGUAGUAACGUAUCGUAUCCAAAAUUACCCUAUGCAUGCAGCCGCUAAUACACAUCACAAACAAUCUGGCAUUGUGCACCUGCUACGGUCUACACGCACUGCAGUCUACAGGUACAGUAGCAGAAGGACGCGCCACCGCCUACCGUUUUCCGUCUUCAGCGCUCAGGGAGGCGUUCUUAUUGUUACUGCAGACUUAUUCCACUAACUGUGUUGUACAGAAUAAUCACCUGCCUCCUCGUCCAUAACGUCCAGCUUAACUUGAGGUUGGUCCACCCGUCAGUGGCUGGUCGCCAGGGCAGUAACCAGUAGGCCGAAGACGAAGAAUGGUUGCGCGCUCGCCUGCGUUCAAGCACAGUAGUAAGAUGGUGGCAGCGUUAAGCUUGCAGUUCUGGAACGGGGCACGGAUCGGACAGGAAGAAAGAUAAUGCAUGCGAGAGACGGCGACCGACGAGCGGCGCACCUGGUAUUUGACGUCGUACUUCACAGGGUCCUUCAGGAAGUACUGAAACUGCUCCAGGAAAUUAAGGAUUAGAGUGUACAGAACAUAAGUGGGAACGGUUCAGAUUGUUCAGCAGGCAAAAUCGUCUAUAGUUUUCAUGUUCUUAUAAGAGCUAUAAAGGCCAGUCUGACAAGCCAUGCAGUUGUAGAUAAUUCUGUUGUUCAUAACUCCAAACGAUUUCAAUUAUUUGGUUUGAUGGCGUGAAUAGGAAAUUUCUGAAAAAGGGGAGCAUGUUCUGAAAUACAACGAGAAAUGAUAAUAUCCAAGGUCCAAAAAGAUUGGUCAGCUCACCUGCAAGAUCACCUGGGGAAUUGUCAGUCCAACUAGUGCCAAGGCAUAAUACAGCUUGCCAGUACUCAGGAGGUAGGCUAAAAAUGGAGUUACAAGAUUAGGUAGGCUGAAAAUGGAGUUACAAGAUUAUGAAGUUCCCAACAUAAAUUCGGAUAGAUAGAUAGAUAGAUAGAUAGAUAGAGAGAGAGAGAGAGAGAGAUAAUGAACGUAAGUUUCCUGUGAUCCCUAAUUUAUAGAACAAUUCAGGCACUCUUGUUUGUCUCAACUAAAACAGAGAAAAUAGUUAUACUACGGCAAGCUUUGGGUGCAGUUUGUCUUCAUCUGAAAAUUUCUGGUAAUGCUCAACAACUCUUCUUUUUUUUUUGCAUUAAACACAUCUUAUGUUACUAUAGCUAACAGUAACUGUGUUCCAAGGUUCGGUGAAAGCUUCCAUCAUUAGGUUGAAAAUUUGAAGUGCGACCCAUUCCUUUUUAGGCAAACAGUAUGAUUCUUUUCACAGCUAGCACAUGACAGUUGCAUAAAUCCAUGAACCACUUAAUCAUAUGUAAAGGAAAUGACUUAAGUAAGUCUUGAAGGAAGAAAGAUACGGCAAAACUGUGUCUUUACCUGCAACAGAUAAUUGAGUGAUGUCGAUUGCUCCAACACAUAUCCAUUUUGCAGUGUCCAUACCAAAAGCAACAGGAAGUGACUACAAAAAGGUAAAAUGGUAAACAGAUAUGCUGUGACAACAAACCUAAAAUACAGAUGGAAAGAAUAAUAACCUGAAGUCCCAGAGUUCUAUCCCCCUCAAUACUCUUAAAAUCAUUUACGAUGGCAAUCCCUAGCUACAAAGCCAGGAAAAACAGUCAGCGGUCAUGAUCGCAUACAUGAUUGCAAACAAGCAAACAGAUCAUGAAAUAUAAAUACCCCAGCUAUGCUGUACAGAGUAGUUAGGACAACAAUAUCAGGAGUAAGAGUUCCAAAUAACGCCUGGCCAGCCCACCUGCACAAAAGAGAUGGGGAUUUUACGGUAACUUAGAAGAGUAAUUCUGGUUCUAGAAUCCUAAUAUGGAGUUCAUCUUGCCUAAUAAUCUCGAUGCACCUUAUAUAGUUUAGCACAAACGGUACCGUGAGCCUCAGGCCACACGUGCACUUCAGAUGGAAAGUGGUAGUGGUGUAUGCCUUGGAGCCAAGUGAAUUGUCUGAUGCACAUACCACGUGGUAUUUGCUUGAGUGUUAGAUAAAUGUUAUUAAAUAACUUCGGUAGUCAAUCACUAAACUACCAAGAGCUUUGAAGUAAUGUAUGCAUAUUCCUGCAGAUCACACAACCUCGAGGCUAAAGGAAAGUUGAAGAACUUGGGCUCAAAUUGGUCAUCAUGGGAGAGAGAGGGAGAGAUCUGGUUAUGGAUUUGUGGUUCCUCAAUCACGGGCUAGGGUUGUGAGGGUUGGUAAGUGACAGUUGUGAUGGGACUGAAUGCAAUAUAUUAUCAUUAACGUAAGUACAAUCCUUUCUAGUACUUGGUGUUGUAGUCUGAUAAAAUCCAAACUAAUUUGUCCAUUAAAUUGAAAAAAUAAUGGACAGUCCACAAUAUUUUGUGGCUACCAUAAAUGAGUCAAUAUAUAUAGAUGCAUCUUCUUACAUAUAAUAGUAUGGGUGACAUCCAACAGAACAUUGUAUAUUCAACAUGAAAAAAAAAUAUUCACAGCUUUGAUCAUACCAGGGCAAGCCAAUGUAACUCGCACCAAGAGCAAAGUUUCCUAUCCAUCCGUUCUGCUUGAGCUGAAAUGCGUAAUAAUAAAAAAUGAACAUUUUGUUAUCAAAGAGUUCAUGGCACAUAGUGUACUAUGCUAAAACAAGAUGCAGAAUGCAUAGAACACAAGUAUUAAGUACCUUGAGAGGCGGUGCUGAAUAUAUGUAAGAAAGCAAGGACCCACCCAGAGCAAGGUAAAAAAUAAUAGGAAAAUCAUGCCCUGCCUGAAAUGAAACAAGAGAAUAAGCAAAGAAAGAACACAUCUUCAACCUCUUAGUAUACUAAAGUGAGUCUUUUCGAGACUUACCCAUACGUCUAACAAAGCACCCAACCCAAGACCUGCUAACAAUAAUACCCAGAUCUGAGUAAUUACCUGGAUCAAAUCAACAUCAUUAGUAAGACAUGGCAAUUCUCAGUGAACGUCUGACAUCAGCCUUUAGAAUUAGAUCGGACGAUCGGAAGCUCGUCAUUAUCACGAAACCAAUUUGGUUUGGAACGUUCUGCAGUAGUUUGUAGCAAUACAUACUUCUCAUCAUCUCAAAGGAAAACAAAUCCCCUUGGAUAAAAAGGUCAAUCUAAAAAUGGGGUUUCAAAGAGUAAAAGCACAACAAUUUCAAGCAAAGUAUCACAUCAAUCAACCGGCCAUCUAGAUGACCGCAGACUCUAAUAAGAACAGAACCCGCAUGAUUACCAUUAAAACGAAGCAAUGAUGGGGACAGGCAAGUUAUGCGUUCUGAUGUUCUGAGAAAAAAAAAAGGAAAAUGAGGGUGAGCCCUCAGCCUCUGGAUCGAUUGAUGCAUUCAGCCAUCUUUAUUAAAAAGGUUAUUGUACAGUAUCUUGCUCCAAAAUAAUAUUAAAUGAUACAACGGUAUAUUUUAAAUGAGAGAUGUUGGACUUUUGACAUGAAAAAUGCAUUGUCUAUUGUUGAUAAUGACCUUAAAACGUAAAGACAAAGUCCCUGUGCAGCGUUCUAGCAUCCUAAGAAUUGAUGUCUCUUAUCCAUGUACCAUAACUGGAUAAUACUGCAAAUAAAAAGGGUCAACUUAUGAUACAAAUAUGCUUACUUAUUGAAAGAAUAUAAACAAGUACAUGUGAAAACGAAUAAGAAAAAGGAUAUAUAGACACAGAUAACUAAACUUCUUGUGAGCAUGCGGUACAUGGUUAUGACAGCGAUAUAUUUGAGAUGUCUGCUUAACAGUUAUAGAAGUCAUAAAGCAUUCUCUAACAAAAAAAUUGGAAAGGAAAUACUAGGAUAUUCUACAGUGGUUGUUUUAUGAAUAAGGAAGGAGAAACAAUAUGACACGUUGCUCAAAAGAUAAUGUUCUCUAGAGUCUUAGUCAAGAUCAUAUUUUCUUGAUGAUGCAAUAAACUUUGUAAUAAGUGUGGCUGCAUGCAUCUAUGAUGCAGCGGCUGGGGGUAACAAAAGCCUCCGUUAUCUAAAAAAAGUCCUCAAAAAAUAAGAAAUCAACAAGUUCCUUUUAUGCAUGUAGAAUCUACUAACAGAAGCAUGUUGGAUUUCACCCAAGGAUCAAUCACAUUAAAAAUCACCAACACAUGUGCACGAAAAUCUGUUCGUCAGGCGUGCAUUGUGUUUCUUUUUUUUAUUUAUUUCCCGGUCUAGCAUGCAAUCUCACAACCCUUUUGCACGUAUAUAUAGGACCAGAGCUAGGACCUACUCGACUUAGGUGACUUAGCAGUUAGCACAACUCGGACUCAAAUUACUACUGAGUACUCACCAAGACGUAGACCUAUACUCAUAUCCCACGCAACUAGCACCAAGGCAUAGAAACCAACUCCAAAACACGCCCGCUAGAAAACUAAUCGGACCAAUAUUACUUAGACUUACUGCAAGCAAACACAAACCUGAACAUAAUUCAACCGGACUGCAUUAGAGGCAAUAUUGUUUCCAACAAUGCAUGCACACACAUGUCCAAGUAGUCAGAUAUCAAGAUCAGUGUUUGUUCGCUAUUAAUUGCAUGAUGAGUUAAAGAUGGAUCUAGUGGUAUGAUGACAUGGUUCACAUUUUAAGCUCAUUGGUUAUUACAAUACAGUAAUCUCACUCCCGAAGACGGUCAUACCUCAUUUUCUGAUAUAGCUCCAGAAGGAAUAGGACGAUAAGGCUCAUUAAUAGCAUCGAUGUCUCGGUCGUACCAGUCAUUAAUUGUCUACAAGCAAUAGUUUUUGAAACUGACAUAUUCUUUAGUACAAAUAGUUUUCCAUGAAACAAUAUGUGAGGUUAUAAAAUAUGAAUAGAACAAACACAAUGAAUAUAGAGUAAACCUGCGUGUAUCCUGUAAGACAUGGACCCGACAUUAGCAUGCAAACAAUAGAUUUUGCAACAUCUUCAACUGUCCAGUGGAAAUUUCCUAAAACAUGAGAAGUUCAAAUAAGCAUAAGCAAUUGAGCAUAGUAGUUGCAUUGUAUGCCAAGAGGGACAUCAUUCAUGAGCACAGAAGCCGUGAUGGUAUUGUAUUUUCAUCCUAAACCCUAGAAGUUCUAGACAUCGGGCAAGAAGGGAGAAGAGUAUUGCUGAGUUUCCAUGUGUUGUUUUGUUGCAGAAACUGGGUGAAGUUUCCUGUGUACUCCAAAAUCAAUAUUCAUCCUAAAUCAAUAUUCAAUUCUUUGGCCUAUUCCAAAAUAAAUAAAUGUGACUAGGGAUAGUGAGAGAAUAUAUUGUAAGCCCACAGAGCAUAUCAACACCAUUGCUCAAAAUAGGUUUUCGCCCGCUUUAUAAAUAAAGCCACACGGCCGAACGACCAUUGCAAGCCAGCACAAGUGCACAACUUAAAUCGCCCGGUCAAGAAAUUCUUUGCUGCAGAGGAAUGUAGCACAAUAUAUCAACGAUGCGCCGCAUAUGGAAAAAUACAGUUGUCCAACUCCACUUAAGUAAAAGAAAAGAAAAACAUGUACAGAUAAAAUCAUAAUAGGCGAUAAAGCAUACCGGAGGCAGCUGCUCCACAAAGCACUCCCCAGACAAGCGGAGGCCAUGUCACUGGCUUAGUAAGUUGAAGACGGAUCUUCCAUAUGUUCUAUAUGCAGCAUGAUAAAGAGGGGGUCAAUAAGCAAAGUAUCAUUUCUAGUCCCUACAUAAAAAUAGCUACAUAGCGAUUCGUAUGAGCUCAAAGCUAGUGUUAUACAAUGCUCGCAUGUCAUCAUAAGCAGAAAUUGCAUAGAACAUACUUCUCAAGAGAAGGUGGGAUUCAUAAAUUUCAGCAUCCACAGACAGACAUAUGCCCGACCAACACAUUGGCUGCAUGCUGAAUCCCCAAUUCAACACAUGCCCGACCAACCAACCAACUAACAAACCACUCCGAUUUGGAUUCAUAAAUAUGUCCAGUUCACGGGAACAGAUUAAUGACUCACGUCUUCUUGCUUGGCGCCCUUAAUUCCGAGCAGCUGGUUGAAGCUCGACCCUGCCGCCGGCGCCUUCUCCGGGACCUUCGGCUUCGUUGCUGCCGCGCCCAACCCACCAAAACAAAUCACGCAUUAGAACCUCAACCGAAACGCCCGGGAAUCAAUCACAGAACAAGCUGAACUUCAUAAGGAAGGGGCGCUCACUUUCUUUAGCGUCGGCGUCGGCCGCGCAGACCACUGGGAACGGCCGCCGCCCUGCGAACGGAACUCAUAUGCAUCAGCACAACACGCGGCAGCAUACACACACAGUAAAAUAAUAAGCGAGAGAGAGCAAGAGGGGUACGGCUGAGGGUUAGAGAAGGAGGCGGUAGGGAGAGGAAGCGGAGAGGGGGGCGGAAGGCGGUGGAGGAGGAAGAUGUGGCGGCGGCGGCGGCCAGGAAGUGGGAGGUGGCCAUGGGGAAGCGGAGAGGAGGAGCCAGCCGCUAGCUGUUUGGACUUGGGAGUGGACAGUGGGAAGUGUGGGAGGGGAGGAUAACGCCGGCGCAGUUCGUGCCUGUUGGCCGGCUUUGAUUCGGAGGACAGUAAAAAAAUGUGGGGAUUGAAAUGUUAGAGCAUCUUAAACAGAUUUAUGUAAAAGUUGAUUGGACAUUACACAGAGGUUGCGUCAAUUAAUUUAGACUAGCAAAACGGUCCGUGCGUGUAAUGGAUAGUAAAGAUUUCUUACCUGAGACGUUAUUAUUUUGAUCCAAUUUUGAUUCUGACUCGUCAUAUUUUGAUCCAGUAAUGUUACACGUACAUAAGUUUACAGGGGUUUUACAAGCAAGUGAAUUUUGAUUAGAGAUUAAGGGGACGGGCCCCAUUGGGAAAGGUUAGUUAGGAUGAAAAAAAUCCUAGUCAGUGUGUAACCUUUAUAAGUCUUUGUAUGUUUAGCAUUUUUUAUGUGCACCCAUGAGACCAUUCAGGUAUCAUUGAUGUGGUAUUGUUCGACAUUGAGGAGGCCGUGUUUAUAAAUUAAUUAUAUUUAAUAAAGCCUAAAUGUAUAUCCAUCAUAUGCAAUAGAUGAACAUAAAUGAAGAUUGUAUUUAUCAAUUCAAUUGUUAUCUUCAAACAAAAAAUCCAACUAUUAACAUUCAAUUACCAUCGGAUGAAUAGUUCAGAUGUUUUUAAAAUAAACAUUCAUGUACUUCUGAUAUUCAUCAAUUUUAUAAGUGAAUGUAUAAUCUAUAAAAAUUAUUUGUGUAUUCACCAUAAAAAAAGUGUAGUCCGUUGGUAAAAACGUGCGUGGAUUCUGUCAAAAAAGGACACGUACGUAAGGUCUUAGAUUAUAAAAUAUGUAUAAAGAAAGAACCUAGUACAAGUACAUCAUGUUCAGAGAUUAUAACAUUUCCAAAUAUUAACGCUUAAGUCGUCGGUACGAAAUAAAGACAAAUAUUGAUUAACAUUGUAUCCUAUAUAGUAUUUUAAAAAUACUUAACAUGUAAAAUAACAACAUAUUCAAACUGUACACAUUUUUCUAAUCAAAUUUUAUAUAUAACAUGUUUAAAUUGGAUUGACGGUUUGAAAGAUAUUGUUAUUCGAAAAUAUAUAUUUAUUCUGAAUAGACUCCGGAGUUAUUAACGCAUAUGUCAGGGGGUUUACAUAAAAUUUUACAAAAAAGAUUCACGCUGAAUAAAUUUGGACCGCGGAUUAUUUAGCAUAAAAGUAAGGGGUCUUGUGUAAAAUGCAAAAAAAACGGUUCGGUCUCACUUAUAAACGGACUGCGGGUUAAUUAACGAAAAUGACACGGACUUUUCUGCAAAAACGCCACGACGUACGACGGGAAUCAGUAUUUGCUUUAUUAUUAAAUAGAGAUUAAAGGAAGUACCUGAAAUGGUUUUAUGUGUGAAAAAAGAAGGUUUUUAGGCACACCAAAUCUACAGUAACAGAUGAUAUGAAAUUCAUACCAUGAAACUUCCAAACUUAAGCAUCGUUCAUUGUACAUUUUAAAAAAUCACCAUUAUUAGACAUAACGAUAUCACUUAAAUAAGUAUAAGGGUCGCGAUAUUUAUCACAUGUGUGGCAUCUAAGGGGUGCUUGUCGCACGUUUCGUGUGGUAUCUACGCAGAACAGCCCGCACGCGCACGUCUCGCGUCCCACUUAGGUGCUUGCACGCCCGGGUGUGUCACCCUGCGGUGCGCACAUCCGGGCGUGCCACCCCACGGCCCGCACGACCAACAAUUCUCCCUCCCCGAGAACUAGAGUAGGUCCCCGCGCGAAAGAGUUGUUGGAAAUAUGCCCUAGAAGCAAUGAUAAAUAGUUAUUAUUACAUUUCCUGUUUAAAGAUAAUCGUUUAUUAUCCAUGUUAUAAUUUAUUGAAUGAAAGCAUAGAUACAUGUGUGGAUACAUAGACAAAACAAUGUCCCUAACGAGCCUCUAGUUGGCUACGAGUUGAUCAAUGAUAGACAAGGUUUUCUGACUAUAUGCAAGUGUUGUCACUUGAUAACUGGAUCACAUCAUUAGGAGAAUCAUGUGAUGAACUAGACACAAACUAUGAACGUAGCAUAUUGAUCGUGUCGUUUUAUUGCUAUUGUUUUCUGCGUGUCAAGUAUUUAUUCCUAUGACCAUGAGAUCAUAUAACUCACUGGCACCGGAGGAAUACCUUGUGUGCAUCAAACGUCACAACGUAACUGGGUGACUAUAAAGGUGCUCUACAGGUAUCUCCAAAGGUGUCUGUUGAGUUAGUAUAGAUCAAGACUGGGAUAUGUCACUCCGUUUGACGGAGAGAUAUCUCGGGGCCCACUCGGUAAUACAACAUCACACACAAGCCUUGCAAGCAAUGUGACUAAGUGUAAGUCACGGGAUCUUGUAUUACGGAACGAGUAAAGAGACUUGCCGGUAACGAGAUUGAAAUAGGUAUGCGGAUACCGACGAUCGAAUCUCGGGCAAGUAACAUACCGAAGGACAAAGGGAAUGACAUACGGGAUUAUAUGAAUCCUUGACACUAAGGUUCAACCGAUAAGAUCUUCGGAGAAUAUGUAGGNNNNNNNNNNNNNNNNNNNNNNNNNNNNNNNNNNNNNNNNNNNNNNNNNNNNNNNNNNNNNNNNNNNNNNNNNNNNNNNNNNNNNNNNNNNNNNNNNNNNNNNNNNNNNNNNNNNNNNNNNNNNNNNNNNNNNNNNNNNNNNNNNNNNNNNNNNNNNNNNNNNNNNNNNNNNNNNNNNNNNNNNNNNNNNNNNNNNNNNNNNNNNNNNNNNNNNNNNNNNNNNNNNNNNNNNNNNNNNNNNNNNNNNNNNNNNNNNNNNNNNNNNNNNNNNNNNNNNNNNNNNNNNNNNNNNNNNNNNNNNNNNNNNNNNNNNNNNNNNNNNNNNNNNNNNNNNNNNNNNNNNNNNNNNNNNNNNNNNNNNNNNNNNNNNNNNNNNNNNNNCCGCUAUUGGAUAUUGAUCGAGGAGUACAUCGGGGCAUGUCUACAUAGUUCUCGAACCCAUAGGGUCUACACACUUAAGGUUCGAUGAUGUUUUAGUAUAGUUGAGUUAUAUGUGUGGUUACCGAAUGUUGUUCGGAGUCCCGUAUGAGAUCACGGACGUCACGAGGGUUUCCGGAAUGGUGCAGAAACAAAGAUUGAUAUAUAGGAUGGUUUCAUUUGGUUACCGAAAAGUUUCGAGCAAUUCCGAAAGUGUAACGGGAGUGACGAAUGGGUUCCGGGAGUUCACCGGGAGGGGCCCACCCACCCGGGAGUGAGCCCAAGGGCAUAGGGUGGCGCCACAAGUCCCUAGUGGGCUGGUGGAGUCAGCCCAAGGGGCCCAUGGCGCCACUUAUAGAAAUACCAAAAAGAAAAAAAAGGAAAAAAGGGGAGGUGGGAAGGAAGGAGUGGACUCCUUCCCGAAACCGAAUUGGGGUGGGAGUCCACCUCCCCCUUGGCCGGCGCAGCCUCCUCCCCCCUCUCUCCUAUAUAUAGUGGUGAUUUAGGGCUGAUCUGAGACAACUUUUGCCACGUGCAACUCAGAUCUAGACACCAUAGUUUUACCUCUAGAUCGUAUUUCUACGGAGCUCAGGCGGAGCCCUGCAGGAGUAGAUCGUCACCACCACCGGAGCGUCGUCACGCUGCCGGAGAACUCAUCUACUUCUCCGUCUUGCUUGCUGGAUCAAGAAGGCCGAGAUCAUCGUCGAGCUGUACGUGUGUUGAACGCGGAGGUGUCGUCCGUUCGGCACUAGAUCGGAACGGAUCGUGGGACGGAUCGCGGGACGGUUCGUGGGGCUGAUCGAGGGACGUGAAGACGUUCCACUACAUCAACCACAUUUCUUAACGCUUCCUGCUGUGCGAUCUACAAGGGUACGUAGUUCCAAAUCUCCUCUCGUAGAUGGACAUGACCAUGAUAGGUCUUCUUGUGCGUAGGAAAUUUUUUGUUUCCCAUGCAACGUUUGCCAACAAGAGUGGCCACCCCGCGGACCAAAAUCUUGCUUAACCCUCUUUUGUCUCCCACCUCCCAAUCGACAGUCUUCCCCUACCUCCUUCCUCGUGGUUCACAAAUUUCCAUGGCAACCACAGCAAAACCCUAGCGACGCCUGGACGAAAAACACGACAACGAAUUCCACAAGGUGAGAAACCUCAUGGAUUCGGCCGUUCUCCUCUCCCCUCCCCUUAGAAAUUUUGCAUCAAAAUUGCCAACAUGGAUCCGAGUUGUCCUAGAUUUUUGCCACAUUGAUCCAAAACCUCAUGGAUCCGGUCGUUCUCCUCUCCCCUCCAAAAUCAACGAAAUUGUGAUCAUGUGUCCUAGGUUUGAUCUGCAUAUUAGUUGCCAUCAAGUCCGUAGAAGCUGGAAAUUUCAAGUUGCCAUCAAAUUGACCUACUCAAAAGUAAGAUCAGAUGCAUUUAGAAUCAAAGGGAGGGCGGGGAAAGAGGUGAGUAUGGGAGGGCAAGCCAAAGGAGACUUUUUCAUUUGGAGAUUGUGUCGGGGGGAUAACCCCGGGGUAGGCUCAUCAAGCCUAUUCCUUCAUUUCCGGCCCAAUGGACAUGAACGUAUGAAGAUUCCCAAGGCCCAAGUCUUCUGGCCGGCUAGGCAUCACCUGCCGGCUAGAGGACGAGGCGGCCACCUUUCUGGCUGGCCAGGCAACCCCUGCCGGCUAGAAUCCUAGCGGCCUCCUCUUCGGGGCCGGUCUGGUCCCGCCAGCCGGACUAGGGAGGAGGCGGCCACCCUUAAGCCGGCUGGCCAAGCAGGCUAACCGGCCGAGGAUCACAAGUCACAUCAGAUCGUAGGUCAGGAAGAGACCUCACGAUUAAAGGUAGCUACACGUCAGCAAAGGUACAGGAUCAGGGCGCCCGACAGGUACGAGCGUCGGCGGCCACGCCGCUGACCUACCCCGGCUUUGAUCCAUCACCUAGCAUAGUGUCGGACCAUCACACUCCCACUCCAUUACUGCACUCGGCAUGGGGAACAGUGGAGGCGGUCGUACUACCUGCCCAUGAAGAAUCUCGCGGGGCGACGCUUGACGUACAACGCGUGCUCAGCGUCAACCUUACGCGAGAGCCUCAUUGGCCAGCCGGCGGGUCCCACAGGCAAUCGAGACCAUGCAGCCGGCGGGCCCCUCAUCGACAAGACAAGACCCUUGUGGGCCCCUGGCCAGCCGGCGAAGCAGCCAGCCGGGUCCCACACUUGUACCCUUUAUCCAUAUUGUAGGCCGGCGGGUUCGUCUAUAAAACCCCCCGGUCGCCGCCCAUGCAAGGGGGCCGAUCUUUCACCAGUCAUUCAACACAACACACUCACCAACCACAGAGAGAGAGGUAGAGAUGAGCCGGCUGCUCCCCUCUUCCUCCUACCAACACAGCUCCAGGAGCGACAUUGUACUCUGUUCCGAUACAUCAAACACUCCGGCAGGAUUAGGGGUAUUAUCUCUACGGAGAGCCCUGAACUUGGGUACAUCGUGCGUCCCAUGCGUGUACCAACCUCGUUCCCAGCGCCCACCUUUGUCCCUUCGGUUCUCACCGACUUUAGCCUACCCAUGGCAUAUGUUGUGAGUAUUCACCGACAUUUGGCGCCCACCGUGGGGCCGAUCGCGGCAUCGGCUGGCUUUACGCGCUGGGCGGGGCCCCGCACCUACACCACCGGAUGCAUCGCGUCCGGAUCAGUUUGCAUGCCCGUGGAGCCCGCUUUCGACGAGGCGACACCCAUGAUGAUCGAUGUCCCCGUCCGCCAUGCUGAUUCGGACGAAGAUUCUGAUGACGAGGCGCUCCCUAGCGUCGUCGUCGCUGCUAUGGAAAACCUCAGCGUUCUCUUCAGCGACCUUCGUCUCAACGACGAACCGCGCUACUUCGGCGAGGACCUCGACGUUGAGGCGCUCUGCGCCAGCUUCAGCAGGCUCUCUAUCGCCGAGAUGCCUGCCCACGAUGUUUACCCCAGUAACGUCCUCAUCUUCAACGACCCUUCUGUUGGAAAUAUGCCCUAGAGGCAAUAAUAAUUAGUUAUUAUUAUAUUUCUUUGUUCAUGAUAAUCGUUUAUUAUCCAUGCUAUAAUUGUAUUGAUUGGAAACACAAUACUUGUGUGGAUACAUAGACAAAACACUGUCCCUAGUAAGCCUCUAGUUGACUAGCUCGUUGAUCAAAGAUGGUCAAGGUUUCCUGGCCAUAGGCAAGUGUUGUUACUUGAUAACGGGAUCACAUCAUUAGGAGAAUCAUGUGAUGGACUAGACCCAAACUAAUAGACGUAGCAUGUUGAUCGUGUCAUUUUGUUGCUACUGUUUUCUGCGUGUCAAGUAUUUGUUCCUAUGACCAUGAGAUCAUAUAACUCACUGACACCAGAGGAAUGCUUUGUGUGUAUCAAACGUCGCAACGUAACUGGGUGACUAUAAAGAUGCUCUACAGGUAUCUCCGAAGGUGUUCGUUGAGUUAGUAUGGAUCAAGACUGGGAUUUGUCACUCCGUAUGACGGAGAGGUAUCUCGGGGCCCACUCGGUAAUACAACAUCACACACAAGCCUUGCAAGCAAUGUGACUUAGUGUAAGUUGCGAGAUCUUGUAUUACGGAACAAGUAAAGAGACUUGCCGNNNNNNNNNNNNNNNNNNNNNNNNNNNNNNNNNNNNNNNNNNNNNNNNNNNNNNNNNNNNNNNNNNNNNNNNNNNNNNNNNNNNNNNNNNNNNNNNNNNNNNNNNNNNNNNNNNNNNNNNNNNNNNNNNNNNNNNNNNNNNNNNNNNNNNNNNNNNNNNNNNNNNNNNNNNNNNNNNNNNNNNNNNNNNNNNNNNNNNNNNNNNNNNNNNNNNNNNNNNNNNNNNNNNNNNNNNNNNNNNNNNNNNNNNNNNNNNNNNNNNNNNNNNNNNNNNNNNNNNNNNNNNNNNNNNNNNNNNNNNNNNNNNNNNNNNNNNNNNNNNNNNNNNNNNNNNNNNNNNNNNNNNNNNNNNNNNNNNNNNNNNNNNNNNNNNNNNNNNNNNNNNNNNNNNNNNNNNNNNNNNNNNNNNNNNNNNNNNNNNNNNNNNNNNNNNNNNNNNNNGAUCUUCGUAGAAUAUGGAGGAUCCAAUAUGGGCAUCCAGGUCCCGCUAUUGGAUAUUGACCGAGGAGUCACUCGGGUCAUGUCUACAUAGUUCUCGAACCCGCAGGCUCUGCACACUUGCACACUUAAGGUUCGACGUUGUUUUAUGCGUAUUUGAGUUAUAUGGUUGGUUGCCGAAUGUUGUUCGGAGUCCCGGAUGAGAUCACGGACGUCACGAAGGUUUCCAGAAUGGUUCGAAAACGAAGAUUGAUAUAUAGGAUGACCUCAUUUGAUUACCGGAAGGUUUUUGGAGUUACUGGGAAUGUACCGGGAAUGACGAAUGGGUUCCGGGAGUUCACCGGGGGGGGGGGCAACCCACCCCGGGGAAGCCCAUAGGCCUUGAGGGUGGCACACCAGCCCUUAGUGGGCUGGUGGGGCAGCCCAAAAGGGCCCUAUGCGCCUAGGAAAGAAAAUCAAAGAGAAAANNNNNNNNNNNNNNNNNNNNNNNNNNNNNNNNNNNNNNNNNNNNNNNNNNNNNNNNNNNNNNNNNNNNNNNNNNNNNNNNNNNNNNNNNNNNNNNNNNNNNNNNNNNNNNNNNNNNNNNNNNNNNNNNNNNNNNNNNNNNNNNNNNNNNNNNNNNNNNNNNNNNNNNNNNNNNNNNNNNNNNNNNNNNNNNNNNNNNNNNNNNNNNNNNNNNNNNNNNNNNNNNNNNNNNNNNNNNNNNNNNNNNNNNNNNGGGGAAGCCCAUAGGCCUUGGGGGUGGUGCACCAGCCCUUGGUGGGCUGGUGGGACAGCCCAAGAAGGCCCUAUGCGCCAUAGAAAGAAAAUCAAAGAGAAAAGAGAAAAAAAGGAGGUGGGAAAGGAGAGAAGGACUCCACCUUCCAAUCCUAGUUGGACUAGGAUUGGAGGAGGACUCCUCCUCCCUUGGUGGCGCAGCCCUUGGGGCUCCUUGAGCCUCCAGGCAAGCCUCCCCUCCCUCCUCCUAUAUAUAUGGAGCAAUUAGGGCUGAUUUGACACAACUUUUCAAGGCAGCCCGACCACAUACCUCCACGAUUUUACCUCUAGAUCGCAUUUCUGCGGAGCUCGAGCGGAGCCCUGCUGAGAUUAGAUCACCACCAACCUCCGUAACGCCGUCACACUGCCGGUGAACUCAUCUACCUCUCCGUCUCUCUUGCUGGAUCAAGAAGGCCGAGAUCAUCGUCGAGCUGUAUGUGUGCUGAACGCGGAGGUGCCGUCCGUUCGGCACUAGAUCGUGGGACGGAUCGCGGGACGGUUCGCGGGGCGGACCGAGGGACGGGAGGACGUUCCACUACAUCAACCGCGUUUCUUAACGCUUCUGCUAUGCGAUCUACAAGGGUACGUAGAUCGGAAAUCCCCUCUCGUAGAUGGACAUCACCAUGAUAGGUCUUCGUGCGCGUAGGAAAUUUUUUUCUUCCCAUGCGACGUUCCCCAACACCUUCGCCGUCGGUGGGGUUCUUCACCCCAUACCACGUUGCUGCCAUCUCCAACACCGUGGAGGUGAUGGUUAUCGGCGUUGGCACCAGUACGGCUCCCGGAAAGGCCUCCGGAGGCGCUGGUGAGCCCGCCGCGGCCACCGCCGAUACUCUUCGGGACACCAUCGCCGGACUAAAGACACCUGUCACCAGCUCCGCCGACCCUGCAAACGCUCGGGCCUCGUUGGAGGAGGCUCGCGAGCAUAUCUUGGAGGAGGGCAUCGCCGUAGCUUCGGCGAAACGUCGGUUGGAGGCUACGCAGUGCGAGUAUAACUCCGCAUACGGUCUCACUCCGAUUUCCGAGGCCCCUAGCCGGCUUGGAUCGGUCCGCAGCUGCGGCCGGUUCAUCGCCGAGGUUCUAGGCGGUGAUCUGCCCACCUACGAGACUCCUGCGGCCAACAUGCGAGCGGCGCAGGCAACCAUGGAGGAGAUGGCCAGCCUGGAUGGCGAGGAGCGCGCCUUCCAGGAGAAGCGUGUCAAGGAUCUCCUUGACGCCGCCAACCAGCAACACGCUCGGCUUGACCCCGGUCAGGCUCAAUCGGAGUCCCCGGGACCGAACUCAGGGGCACGCCGCAAUCCUAGCGGCCAGCACCACGUAGAAGGAUCUUCCUCGCAUCGCCCUUCCGGGCGGAGGGGCGAGGGAAGCCAAGACCGGCGCUCUCAGCGCCAGAGCGAGCACACUUCGGGCUUGCGUCGCGGAGGCGACGAGGGCGAUUCGGAGUGUGAGGUUCUCCCCCCGCGAAGAACUCACGUCUCUGGCUCACGAGGCGCCUCCCCUCUCGCCACCGGGGCUGGCGCCCACGCCACCCAGGAUGAGCGGGAUGCCCGUCGGCGUCUCAUCGUCCUCGCCCAGUCAGCCCUCCUAGAGGAAGACGAACCCGUCGGUCUGGCAUGCUUCGGCCCCCGGAUCCGAGGGGAGCCGUUCCCCCGAGGUUUCAACUUACCUCGGGAUACGCCGAAAUACAACGACACGGCCAAGCCAGAAGACUGGCUGAUUGAUUAUACCACGGCCGUAGGCAUCGCCAGGGGCAACAAGCGCGUAGCAGUUCGCUACGUGCCACUCAUGUUGGCCGGCUCGGCCCGAACUUGGCUUAACAGCCUCCCGGCCGGCAGUGUCAACUCCUGGGUGGACUUCGAGGAGGCGUUCGUCCGCAACUUCACCGGCACCUACAAGCGCCCUGGCCAGCCCCGCGAGCUGGCUAUGUGCGUCCAGAAGGCCGACGAACCCCUUCGCGACUACGUCACCCGGUGGACUGAGCUCUGCAACUCCUGCGAGGGGUGCAUGAGGUACAAGCCAUCCAGUACUUCAUUGACGGUUGCCGAGACGGCACCCUCCUCAAGCACAAGCUCAUGUGCGCCGAGCCCACCUCUUUGGCGGUGCUCAUGGCCUAGGCAGACAAGUACUCCACGGCCGACUCCACAAUGCGCAUCAAGGUGACCGCCUCGGACAAGGUUGUGCCUACGCGGGCUACUCCCAAGCCGGCUGGGGACAACCGAGGCGGCCAGAACAACUACAAGCGCAAGGCGGAUCAGAUGGAUCCCCGCUCCAACAGCAAGUUGGUGGCCAAUGUGGAGGGCGAGGCGUCGGCUUCUCAAGCCGGCCCUCCACGAAAGCGUCCCAAUCGGAGCAACCCCAACUGGCUGCCCAAGCAGUCCUUCGAGCAGCUGCUCGACGCCCCCUGCAAGAUACAUUCUGGGGAGACGCCGUCUUCCCAUACCCUUCGACAGUGCAACGUUGCGCGCCGGCUGUCGCAAGGGGAUGGCAUGCCGGCUCCUCCGGGUGCACAUGCGGCGGCCCGUGCGGCGGCUCCCAACCACGCUCUGCCUCCGCCACCGCCACCUCGCGAUGACGGUCAUCACCCAGACGACUAUCCUCAUCAAGACGGAGCGUUCGUCGUCUUCACCAGCGAAGGCGACGACAAGCACAACCUACGCCAAAGACGGCACGAGGUAAACGCCACUGUCCUCCCGGUUCCCCAGUACAUGCAUUGGUCUGACAAACCAAUCACAUGGAGCCGGGUGGACCAUCCUGCGGUGAUGCCCAACCUGGGAUUAUACGCGCUCGUCCUCGACCCCACCUUCGCCUCCAAAAGGCUCACCUGCCGAUUCUCCCGGGUGCUGGUCGAUGGCGGCAGCAGCAUCAACAUCCUCUACCUCGACACUCUCCUCAAGCUUGGGCUCAAGGAGACGGACGUCCUGCCAACCAGCACUGUCUUCCAUGGCAUCGUGCCUGGGCAGUCCUGCUCGCCCAUCGGCAAGAUCCAGCUGGACGUCCUCUUCGGCGACAAGGCCCACUUCCGCCGAGAGUCCAUAUGGUUCGAGGUAGUAGACCUCAGUAGCCCGUAUCACGCGCUGUUGGGAAGACCGGCUUUGGCCAAGUUCAUGGCUAUUCCGCAUUAUGCCUACCUAAAGAUGAAGAUGCCGGGUCCCAAGGGCAUCAUCACUGUUGUUGGCGACUACAAGAAGUCGCUCGAGUGUGCCCAAGAUAGCAGCCGCCUCACCGACGCCUUGGUGAUUGCUGAGGAGAAGCGGCAGAUUGACCGGCUCGUGGCCCAGGCUGCCGAGCAGCCGGUGAUUCCUUCUCCUCCGUCCCAAUCGACCGGCGAGGGCUCUUUCAAGCCGGCUAAAGAGACCAAACAGGUCCCACUCGACCCUGCCAACGCGAAGUAGUGCGUCACCAUCGGGGCUGGCCUCAGCCCCAAAUAGGAAGGCGAGCUCGUCGACUUCCUCCGUGAGAAUCGGGACAUCUUUGCAUGGUCCCUCAAGGACAUGCCGGGUGUUCCGAGGAAGUACGCCGAGCACAAACUUCACGUGCGACCGGAUGCGAAGCCGGUGAAACAACCCCUGCGCCGCUUCGCCGAGGGGAAGCGGCGCACGAUCGGAGAAGAAAUCACCCGGCUCCUCGCAUCCGGCUUCAUCAUGGAGGUUUUCCACCCGGACUGGCUGGCUAACCCAGUCCUGGUGCUGAAGAAGAACAACACAUGGCGAAUGUGUAUCGACUACACUAGCCUGAAUAAGGCCUGUCCGAAAGACCCUUUCGCGUUGCCUAGGAUAGAUCAAGUGAUCGACUCCACUGCAGGCUGCGAACUGCUGUCGUUUAUGGAUGCUUAUUCAGGCUACCAUCAAAUCAAGCUGGAUCCAACUGAUCCCGUGAAGACCUCCUUCAUCACGCCCUUCGGGGCCUACUGCUACACCACCAUGACGUUCGGUCUGAAGAACGCACGUGCGACAUUCCAACACUGCAUGCAGCAGUGCCUACUGCCACAGAUUGGCAGAAACAUCCACGUCUAUGUGGAUGACAUUGUCGUCAAGACGAAGCAGCACUUCAGCCUCCUCGACGACCUACGGGAGACAUUCGCUAAUCUGCGCGAAUACAAGAUCCGGCUCAACCCUGAGAAGUGCGUCUUCGGGGUCCCAGGCGGCAAACUCUUGGGGUUCUUCAUAUCCGCCCGCGGCAUCGAAGCGAACCCUGAGAAGAUCAGCACCAUCGAGCGGAUGGUGCGGCCGGCUCGGAUCCUCGACGUCCAAAAGUUCGCCGGCUGCUUGGCAUCCCUCAGCCGGUUCGUCAGCCGACUUGGUGAGAAGGCCCUUCCACUCUACAAGCUCAUGAAGAUGACGACAAAGUUCGAGUGGAACGACCAGGCGGACGAAGCCUUCCGCGACCUCAAGCGGGUAAUCUCGAGCCUGCCAUUCUUGGCAGCCCCAUCUGAAAGGGAACCCAUACUCAUAUACAUCGCGGCGACCACUCGCGUGGUCAGCGUAGUGUUGGUAGUUCAGCGUAAAGAGGAAGGCAAGGCCCUGCCAGUGCAGCGCCCUGUCUACUACCUUAGCAAGGUCUUGUCUGCCUCUAAGCAGAACUACCCUCAUUAUCAGAAAAUGUGUUAUGGUGUUUACCUUGCUGCAAAGAAAUUGAAGCAAUACUUCCAAGAGCAUGCCAUCACUGUGUUGGGGAACAUCGCAUGGGAAACAAAAAAUUUCCUACGCGCACGAAGACCUAUCAUGGUGAUGUCCAUCUACGAGAGGGGAUUUCCGAUCUACGUACCCUAGUAGAUCGCACAGCAGAAGCAUUAAGAAAUGCGGUUGAUGUAGUGGAACGUCCUCACGUCCCUCGAUCCGCCCCGCGAACCGUCCCACGAACCGUCCUGCGAUCCGUCCCACGAUCCGCACCGAUCUAGUGCCGAACGGACGGCACCUCCGCGUUCAACACACGUACAGCUUGACGAUGAUCUCGGACUUCUUGAUCCAGCAAGAGAGACGGAGAGGUAGAUGAGUUCUCCGGCAGCGUGACGGCGCUCCGGAGGUUGGUGGUGAUCUAAUCUUAGCAGGGCUCCGCCCGAGCUCCGCAGAAACGCGAUCUAGAGGAAAAACCGUGGAGGUAUGUGGUCGGGCUGCCGUGGCAAAAGUUGUCUCAAAUCAACCCUAAUAGCUCCAUAUAUAUAGGAGGAGGGGAGGGGAGGCUUGCCUUGAGGCUCAAGGAGCCCCAAGGGCUGCGCCACCAAGGGGAGGAGGAGUCCUUGUGACAGCCCGAGACCGACGUUCCAGAAGAUUCCCCCAUUUAUUCCGUUUUCGUCGUAUGUUUAGUUUUUAUUCACUACAUCGUCAUGUAGUUGCAUCAUCGCAUCAUGCAUGGCAUCAUGUCAUCUGUGUUUUAUCGGUGUUGUUUGUUGCUUCGUGUUGUUGGGUGUUAGUGUUUCGUGAGUGGCGUCGUUUGUUGGCGCGAUGAGAGAGGGAGCGUGAGAGCCACCGCUAAACCCCGUUGCACCGCUGACCUAAACCUUCUCCCCUCUUCUCCCCUCCUAAGUUGUUUUGUGGUUUUCCUAAAGAUUUCUAACUUUACCCCUCUUCCAAAAUAUUCGUCUUCUUUUUAAAAGUCCUUUUAUUAAACGUAGGGGCAACCCUUAGGUUUUAUUUUAACUCUCCGUUUGUCUUAUUUUAAAACCCUCCCAUUUUAUUUCUCUUUUAAAAGGCUUCUAUUUAUCCUUUAAAUAAAGAGGUCUUAUUUAAUCCUUUAAAAAAAGGGGUUAUCUUAUUUUUUUUCUUGUUAAAGGAGUUUUAAUUUAAUUCUUCAAAAGGGUGUUGAUUUUAAUUCUUUUAAAAGAAAGGGUUUGGUUUUUUUUAAUUCUUCUAAGAAGGGUUUUAUUUUAAAUCUUAAAAGGGUUUCAUUUUAUUUGUUUAAGAAAAAGCCCAAACUAUUUAUAGUUGGGGUUUGUUUUAAAUGGGUAAAAGAUACUAUCUUUAGUUUGUUUUUAUUUCGUUGGAAAAGACCUUUCUUUUAACAGAUUUCUGUUUUAAGGGUUUUUUUUUUCAAAAGAAAAAAAAACCAAAGUGCAUCAGGGGGAGGGAGCCCAGCCCAGCCGGCCAGGCCCAUGCCUCCUCCCUGACCUAGUGCCGACACCCCAGACCCCCAUCUCCCCCGUGCCGCCGCCCAACGCCCCGCGACCUGGCCUCCCCUGCUCGAGGGCUGCGCCGUCAGCCCCGCGCCAGCAGCCCCGAGCCCCCCGCCGGUCGCCGCCAAGCCCCUCCUGCCGCCUCCUCUUCCUCCCGAGCGCGCCGGCCACCUGCAGGAGACCCGCCGCCUGCGCUCGCCGUCGCCCCGAGUUCCCCGCCGCCGGCAGCCCCGCGCUCCGCCUCCGCAGCGACGCCCCGUCGUGCUCGCGAGCCGGCCGCCUCGCCCUCUGCUCCUCUUCUCCGAGUUCGAGCCGCCGCCCUUGCCCUGCAGCGCCGUCGUCACCCGCGCCUCGCCCCCGUCGCCGUCAUGGCCGCGCCGUCAGCGAGCCGCCCCGCGCGCCGCCCUGCCGUGCCCGCCACCAGGGGAUCCCCUCCGCCGCGCUGCGCGUCGUGGACGCCUCCUCCUCCUCGGACCUCGCCCCCGCGCGCCAUGCUGGUCGCCCCUCGACCCGAGUGCGCCGCCGCCGCCGUCUGCUGCGAGGAUAGCUUCUCCCAUCGCCCCUGCUUCCCAGGCCCGAGAUCAUCGCCCCGUCGGCCUUGCCCCCUGGUCGUCCUCGCUCGCCUCCCGGUCGCCGCCCCGUCGUGCUCGCCGGACCGCCCGUUCCCUUGCCGACGCCGAGAUAGCACGCCACUGCCGUUGCUGUUGCUGCGCUCGUGCCGAGUUGUGUUGCUGGCAGCUGCAGUUGAUGCUUGCCUGUUGCUGUUAGACUGCUAGGCCGCUAUUGCGUUUGCUAUGCUGCUAUUCCUGCUGCCGGUAGUAGAUGCACGCGUUGCCUGCUGCCCUGCUUGCCUGCAGACGCUGAUGCUGAUUGCUGUUGCUGCUGUGUGCUGUAGCUUGCUUGUUGUUUGGGCUUGUUGCCUCGCUGCCGUGCGUUGUUGCUGUCAAGUGUUGCUGUUGUGCCCGCGGUAGUUGUCGUUGCCUGCCCUGCUGUGUAGUCGCUGUAGCUAGCUGCUGCCUGUUGCGUGCUGCAUCGCUGCUGCUUUGCUAGGUGCCGCCAGCUAGCUGGUGUUGUUGUCGAGAUGUUGCUGCUGCCCUUGCCGAUAGCUGUCGUAGCCAGUGCUGUUGUGAGUUGUCCUGUUGCUGUUAGUUGCAAGCUAGCUUGCUCUUGCUGCCGUUAGCUUGCCUGUAGUUGUUGUUGCCGUGCUUGCGCCGCUGCCGUGCGAUUGCUGUUGUAGCUGGCUUUGCUGCUGCUAGUUUGCAUUGCUGCUAGUGGUAGGUUGCGGCAUGCUAGUGCUAGUGCCGCUUUGCCGUUGUAGUUGCUGUCAUGUCGCGUGCCGUUGCUGCGUGCAUGAUCACCGCCUUCGUGGGUCCUCGACAAGUUCGCCGCGAGUACCACGACGCUCCGACGACCCCGGACAUCCACGGAUUCGUGAACGACUACCGACGCCGAAGACCGUCUGCCGACGCCGAGAGUACGACUACCGUCGACGAGACCGUGCACCACUACUUCAACCGCCGGCGCGUGAACGACUACUUCCACGACGACCACGACGUCCGCUUCGACCGAACCCCUCCGAUUCGCACGCGUCGAAGGUAUACCGAUGGGACAUGUCGAGUACCGUGUGCUAGCGAUGUACGAAUGUGUGUGUUGUACAAGUUGAAUGCAUGUAUGCACCGUAUGUAUGCACCGUUUAUUUGCCGUGCUCGUCGUCUUCCUUUUCGUCGAGCCCUCGACACAUGGGAACCCGAGAUACGGGAUCACCCCAUCUUUAUUUACCGUUCCCACACGCGUUCGAAUACGUUGGCACGAUUGCUCGCCGAGUUGUCGGGAUAGGAACGUUGCCGUGGCAUCGUUUCCGUUUUGCCGCCAUGGUUCCCUUUCGUUUGCCAUGGCGACACAAGUUUCUUUCUCUUCUUGCCCGUGAUGUUUGAACUCGCCUGCAUGACGCAUUCAUGGCAUAUUUAUUUUGUGUUGCUUAUUCUUGUGCCGUAGCUCCGUUCAAAGUCCGACAUGCUGUCGACUAGGAUGACUUGUAGGUUCAUCGCUCACCCCUUGCCAUGUUAACAACAUUUAAUAUUGUCGUGAUAAUUAACGGGAGUUAAUUAAAUAUUUAAACGUGGAGUUUCGUCGAUAUGCAACCCGUUGCAUAUCGAGCUUCAUUUAAUGUGUAGUGUAUGUGUGAGGUGUUUUGCCGUGCCAUCCCGUGCAUCGAUGACCUGUUCAUGCAUCAUAUUAGGGUUGCAUCAUGUCUUGCCUUGUGGUGGUGAAUACUAGUGUUGAUGUUUGUUUCCGGUUUCCUCCGUCUCGAUAGAGUUCCGCAAGCGUGUCGGAAUGUGAGGACCGUUCGACUAUGUCGGUUCGCUGACUUCACCGAGUUGUUCUUCUUCCAAGCGGGAUCUCAGGCAAGAUGAUCAUUUCCCCAGAUACCAUUACUAUCAUUGCCAUGCUAGUUAUUUCGUUGCUACCGUUUAUGUCUCGUUGCCUACCACCUGUUAAAUAUCAGCCUCUCAACAAUGCCAUGAUUACCCUCAACCUGUUCGACCUAGCAAACCACUGAUUGGCUAUGUUACUGCUUGCUUAACCCUGUUGUUAGCGUUGCUAGUUGCAGGUGCAGUUGCUACCAUGUGAGAACAUGGGUACCUUGUUAUAUCACCAUAUCAAUGCUAUUUAAUUUAAUGCACCUAUAUACUUGGUAAAAGGUGGAAGGCUCGGCCUUUCUAGCCUGGUGUUUUGUUCCACCUUUGCCCCCUUAGUUUCGGCUACCGGUGUUAUGUUCCAUAAACGAGCGCUCCUAACACGAUCGGGGUUGUUAUGGGGACCCCCUUGAUAAUUCGUUUUAGAUUAAAGAUGGUCUGGCAAGGCCCAACUUUGGUACUACAUUUGCCUAAUCACUAAUAAACUGCAUAGGGAGUAAUUAACCCGAGGAAAUUUAAUCAACCCCCGGGCCAGUGCUCCUCAUGAGUGUUGGUCCAAACUAGAGCCGUUUGCGGGGCCAACCCGGGGCAACUCGGGAGAUUUCUAUCAGGCCACCGUACGCUGUGCUUAUCCGUCGUGUCCUGAGAACGAGGUACGCGACUCCUAUCGGGAUCGUCGACACGUCGGGCGGCCUUGCUGGAUUAGUUUUACCUUUGACGAAAUAUCUUGUGCAUCGGGAUUCUGGUGAUGCUUUGAGUAAUCUCAGAGUUGAGGUUUUCCACUAGGGAAUCCGACGAGAUCGCGAGCUUCGUGAUUGAGGAUUUCUAUGCGGCUUGUGGUAAUUUGUGAUGGACUAGUUGGAGCACCCCUGCAGGGUUAAAUCUUUCGGAAAGCCGUGCCCGCGGUUAUGUGGCAAAGUGGAUACUUUGUUUAACACUGGUUAUAGAUAACUUGAAGUUAACUUAAUUAAAAUAUGCCAACUGUGUGCGUAACCGUGAUUGUCUGUUUCAUGAGUUCCUUCUCCGAUCGAGGACACGGUGGGGUUAUGUCUGACGUAGGUAGGUGUUCAGGAUCAUUCAUUUGAUCAUCAGUAGUCACGUCCGCUAUGCGUAGAUCUUCCCCCUCUUAUUUCUUGUAUUCGUAAGUUAGCCACCAUAUAUAUGCUUAGCCGCUGCUGCAACCUCACCACUUAACCAUGCCUCACCUAACAAGCUUGCAUGCNNNNNNNNNNNNNNNNNNNNNNNNNNNNNNNNNNNNNNNNNNNNNNNNNNNNNNNNNNNNNNNNNNNNNNNNNNNNNNNNNNNNNNNNNNNNNNNNNNNNCUGGAAGCAGGAAUCAUUUAUCCUGUUGCUCAUAGUGAUUGGGUAAGUCCAGUACAUUGCGUACCUAAGAAGGGAGGUAUCACCGUCGUUCCUAAUGAUAAGAAUGAACUAAUCCCACAGAGGAUUAUUACUGGCUAUAGGAUGGUGAUAGACUUCCGGAAACUGAACAAGGCAACCAGGAAAGACCAUUAUCCUUUGUCGUUUAUCGACCAAAUGCUAGAAAGGCUAUCUAAACACACACACGUCUACUUUCUAGACGGUUAUUCAGGUUUCUCGCAAAUACCUGUUGCACAAUCUGAUCAGGAUAAAACCACUUUCACCUGCCCAUUCGGUACCUUUGCUUAUAGACGUAUGCCUUUUGGCUUAUGCAAUGCACCUGCCACCUUUCAAAGGUGUAUGAUGGCAAUAUUCUCUGACUUUUGUGAAAAGAUUGUUGAGGUUUUCAUGGAUGAUUUCUCCGAUUACGGUUCUUCCUUUGACGAUUGCCUCGGCAACCUUGAUCGAGUCUUACAGAGAUGCUAACAUACCAACCUCGUAUUGAACUGGGAGAAGUGCCACUUCAUGGUUAAUGAAGGUAUCGUCUUAGGACACAAAAUCUCUGAGAAAGGCAUUGAAGUUGAUAAGGCUAAGCUUGAUGCAAUUGAGAAAAUGCCUUGCCCCACAGAUAUCAGAGGUAUACGAAGUUUCCUAGGUCAUACUGGUUUCUAUAGAAGGUUCAUUAAAGACUUCUCUAAGAUUUCUAGGCCUCUUACCAACCUCUUGCAGAAGGAUGUUCCUUUUGUUUUUGAUGAGGAUUGUGAGGAAGCUUUCGAAAUACUUAAGAGGGCCUUGAUAACCGCACCUAUUGUUCAACCACCUGAUUGGAACUUGCCCUUUGAAAUCAUGUGCGACGCUAGUGAUUAUGCUGUUGGUGUUGUUCUAGGACAAAGAGUUGACAAGAAGUUGAAUGUUAUUCACUACGCUAGUAAAACUCUAGACAUUGCCCAAAGAAACUAUGCUACUACGGAGAAGGAAUUUUUAGCAGUCGUGUUUGCAUGUGAAAAGUUCAGAUCUUAUAUAGUUGACUCCAAAGUCAUUAUUCACUCUGAUCGUGCUGCUAUCAAGUAGCUUAUGGAGAAGAAAUACGCUAAACCUAGGCUAAUCAGAUGGGUUCUCCUGCUACAGGAAUUUGAUUUGCACGUUGUUGACCAAAAGGGUGCUGAUAACCCUAUAGCAGAUAACUUAUCCAGGCUAGAGAACGUCCUUGAUGACCCACGACCUAUUGAUGACAGCUUUCCUGAUGAGCAAUUGAAUGUCAUCCGUACUUCACAUAGUGCACCGUGGUAUGCUGAUUACACAAACUAUAUCGUAGCCAAAUACAUACCAUCCAGUUUCACCUACCAGCAAAAGAAGAAAUUCUUCUUUGAUUUGAGACACUACUUUUGGGAUGAUCGUCACCUUUAUAAGGAACGAGUAGAUGGUGUUAUUAGACGUUGUGUGCCUGAACAUGAACAGGGAUAGAUCCUGCAGAAGUGUCAUUCCGAAGCCUACGGAGGACACCAUGCUGGAGAUAGAACUGCUCAUAAGGUAUUGCAAUCAGGUUUCUAUUGGCCCACUCUCUUCAAGGAUGCCCGUAAGUUUGUCUUGUCUUGUGACGAAUGCCAAAGAAUAGGGAACAUCAGUAAACGUCAGGAAAUGCCUAUGAACUAUUCACUUGUCAUUGAACCAUUUGAUGUCUGGGGGUUUGAUUAUAUGGGACCCUUCCCGAGUUCCAAUGGGUAUACUCACAUAUUAGUUGCUGUUGAUUACGUAACUAAGUGGGUAGAAGCUAUCCCCACUAGAAGUGCUGAUCACCACGUCUCUAUUAAGAUGCUUAAAGAAGUCAUUUUCCCAAGAUUUGGAGUCCCUAGAUAUCUGAUGACUGAUGGCGGUUCACACUUCAUUCAUGGUGUUUUCCGCAAGAUUCUCGCUAAGUAUGAUGUCAACCAUAGAGUUGCAUCUCCUUAUCAUCCUCAGUCUAGUGGUCAAGUGGAAUUGAGUAAUAGGGAGAUCAAAUUGAUCUUACAAAAGACUGUCAAUAGAUCUCGAAAGAAUUGGUCUAGCAAACUUGACGAUGCACUAUGGGCUUAUAGGACUGCUUAUAAGAAUCCCAUGGGCAUGUCGCCGUAUAAAAUGGUUUACGGUAAGGCCUGUCAUUUACCUCUUAAGCUAGAACACAAAGCUUAUUGGACAAUCGAAGAGCUCAACUUCGAUUUCAAACUUGCUGGUGAGAAGCGGUUGUUUGAUAUCAUCUCAUUAGAUGAAUGGAGGGCCCAGGCAUAUGAGAAUGCCAAGUUGUUCAAAGAAAAGGUUAAGAGAUGGCACGAUAAAAGAAUACAAAAACGUGAGUUCAAUGUAGGUGAUUAUGUCCUUCUAUACAAUUCUUGCUUAAGAUUCUUCGUAGGCAAGCUUCUCUCUAAAAGGGAAGGUCCCUACGUUGUCGAGGAAGUAUAUUGUUUCGGUGCCAACCAAAUCAAUAACACGGAAGGUAAUUUUCCGAGAGUGGUAAAUGGGCAAAGAAUCAAGCAUUAUAUCUCUGGUACUCCCAUAAAUGUUGAGACCAAUAUCAUCAAUAUCAUAACUCCAGAGGAGUACAUAAGGGAUGUUUAUCAGCCUGUUUCAGACUCUGAAAACGGAGAGUAUGUGUUUUGGUAAGUAAUUGGACUCCAAAACUUUUCCAGUAGGAAAUUUUCUCUGUUUUGGAAUUUAUGGAAAAAACGAAAAAUAAAAAGCACUCCGAAGAGCGCACGAGGCGGCCANNNNNNNNNNNNNNNNNNNNNNNNNNNNNNNNNNNNNNNNNNNNNNNNNNNNNNNNNNNNNNNNNNNNNNNNNNNNNNNNNNNNNNNNNNNNNNNNNNNNUUCGCGAUGCUGAAAGUCGCAGAGUCAGAACUCCGUAAAGAACAUCAAGUGUUGAUGGUGAAUAAGACCACUAGUUUCAAGAGAAAUGGCAAAGGAAAGAAGGGUAAUUCAAAGAAGAGCGGCAAACCUGUUGCCAAUCCGACGAAGAAACCCGAAGAUGGACCUAAGCCUGAAACGGAGUGCUAUUAUUGCAAGGGUAUGGGUCACUGGAAGCGCAACUGCCCCAAGUAUCUGGCUGAUAAGAAGGCGGCCAAAGUAAAAUCAGGUAUAUUUGACAUACAUGUUAUUGAUAUGUACUUAACCAGCUCUCGUAGUAGUGCCUGGGUAUUCGAUACCGGUUCUGUUUCUCAUAUAUGCAACUCGAAACAGGAACUGCGGAAUAGGCGAAGGCUGGCGAAAGAUGAAGUGACGAUGCGCGUAGGAAAUGGUUCCAAGGAUGAUGCAAUCGCCGUCGGCACAGUUUAACUUCAGUUACCAUCAGGAUUAGUGAUGAACUUAAAUCAUUGUUAUUUAGUGCCUGCGUUGAGCAUGAACAUUAUAUGUGGAUCUUGUUUAUUGCGAGACGGUUACUCUUUUAAGUCAGAGAAUAAUGGUUGUUCUAUUUCUAUGAGUAACAUCUUUUAUGGUCAUGCACCUAAUGUGAGAGGAUUGUUCAUAUUGAAUCUUGAUAGCGAUACGCAUAUACAUAACAUUGAGACCAAAAGAGUUAGAGUUAACAAUGAUAGCGCCAUAUUUUUGUGUCACUGCCGCUUAGGUCACAUUGGUGUAAAGCGCAUGAAGAAACUCCAUGCUGAUGGACUUUUGGAGUCACUUGACUUUGAUUCACUUGACACGUGCGAACCAUGCCUCAUGGGCAAGAUGACUAAGACUCCGUUCUCCGGAACAAUGGAGCGUGCAAGUGACUUGUUGGAAAUCAUACAUACCGAUGUGUGUGGUCCAAUGAGCGUGGAGGCACGCGGCGGAUAUCGUUAUUUUCUCACCUUCACUGACGAUUUGAGCAGAUAUGGUUAUGUCUACUUGAUGAAGCACAAGUGUGAAACAUUUGAAAAGUUCAAGCAAUUUCAGAGUGAAGUGGAAAAUCAUCGUAACAAGAAGAUCAAGUUCCUACGGUCUGAUCGUGGGGGUGAAUAUCUGAGUUUCGAGUUUGGUACUCACUUAAGACAAUGUGGAAUAGUUUCACAGUUAACACCGCCUGGAACACCACAGCGUAAUGGUGUGUCCGAACGUCGUAAUCGUACUCUAUUAGAGAUGGUGCGAUCUAUGAUGUCUCUUACUGAUUUGCCGUUAUCGUUUUGGGGUUAUGCAUUAGAAACAGCUCAUUCACUUUAAAUAGGGCACCAUCAAAAUCCGUUGAGACGACACCAUACGAACUGUGGUAUGGCAAAAGGCCAAAGUUGUCGUUUCUUAAAGUUUGGGGAUGUGAUGCUUAUGUCAAAAAGCUUCAGCCUGAAAAGCUGGAACCCAAAGCGGAAAAGUGCGUCUUCAUAGGUUACCCAAAAGAGACAGUUGGGUACACCUUCUAUCUCAAAUCCGAGGGCAAAGUGUUUGUUGCUAAAAAUGCAGCUUUUCUCGAGAAGGAGUUUCUCUCGAGAGAAUUGAGUGGGAGGAAGAUAGAACUUGACGAGGUUGUCGAACCUCUCAUCCCUCUGGAUGGUGGCGCAGGGCAAGGGGAAACCUCUGUCGUUGCGACGCCGGUUGAGGAGGAAGUUAAUGAUGAUGAUCAUGAAACUCCAGUUCAAGUUUCUGUCAAACCACGCAGGUCGACGAGACCACAUGCUGCUCCAGAGUGGUACGGUAAUCCCGUCUUAUCAAUCAUGUUGUUAGACAACAAUGAACCUGCAAAUUAUGAAGAAGCAAUGGUGGGCCCAGAUUCCAACAAAUGGCUAGAAGCCAUGAAGUCCGAGAUAGGAUCCAUGUAUGAGAACAAAGUGUGGACUUUGGAGGUACUACCUGAGGGCCGCAAGGCUAUUCAGAACAAAUGGAUCUUUAAGAGGAAGACGGACGCUGACGGCAAUGUGACCGUUUAUAAAGCUCGACUUGUGGCAAAGGGUUUUUCACAAGUUCAAGGAGUUGACUACGAUGAGACAUUCUCACCCGUAGCGAUGCUUAAGUCCGUCAGAAUCAUGUUAGCAAUAGCUGCAUUUUUCGAUUAUGAAAUCUGGCAGAUGGAUGUCAAAACGGCGUUCCUUAAUGGUUUCCUUAAGGAAGAGUUGUAUAUGAUACAACCCGAAGGUUUUGUCGAUCCUAAGAAUGCUAACAAGGUGUGCAAGCUCCAGCGAUCCAUUUAUGGACUGGUGCAAGCAUCUCGGAGUUGGAACAAACGCUUUGAUGAGGUAAUCAAAGCAUUUGGGUUUAUACAAGUGGUUGGAGAAUCUUGUAUUUACAAGAAAGUGAGUGGGAGCUCUGUGGCGUUUCUAAUAUUAUAUGUGGAUGACAUAUUGCUGAUUGGAAACAACGUGGAGUUUUUAGAGAGCAUAAAUGAUUACUUGAAUAAGAGUUUCUCUAUGAAGGACCUAGGAGAAGCUGCUUACAUUCUAGGCAUUAAGAUCUAUAGGGAUAGAUCAAAACGCGUGAUAGGACUUUCACAAAGCACAUACCUUGAUAAAGUUUUGAAGAGGUUCAAAAUGGAACAGUCCAAGAAAGGGUUCUUGCCAGUUUUACAAGGUACGAUAUUGAGUAAGACUCAGUGCCCGGCAACUGAUGAAGAUAGAGAGCAUAUGCGCUCCGUCCCCUAUGCUUCAGCCAUAGGUUCUAUCAUGUAUGCAAUGUUGUGCACUAGACCGGAUGUUAGCCUGGCCAUAAGUAUGGCAGGUAGGUUCCAGAGUAAUCCAGGAGUGGAUCACUGGACAGCGGUCAAGAAUAUCCUAAAGUACCUAAAAAGGACUAAGGAGAUGUUUCUCGUGUCUGGAGGUGACGAAGAGCUCGCCGUAAAAGGUUACGUCGAUGCAAGCUUUGACACAGAUCCGGAUGACUCUAAGUCGCAAACCGGAUACGUAUUUAUUCUUAAUGGGGGUGCGGUAAGCUGGUGCAGUUCCAAGCAAAGCGUCAUAGCAGAUUCUACAUGUGAAGCGGAGUACAUGGCUGCCUCGGAGGCAGCUAAGGAGGGUGUCUGGAUGAAGCAGUUCAUGACGGAUCUUGGAGUGGUGCCAACCGCACUGAAUCCAAUAACCUUGUUCUGUGACAACACGGGUGUCAUUGCCUUAGCAAAGGAACCACGGUUUCACAAGAAGACCAGACACAUCAAACGACGCUUCAACCUCAUCCGCGACUACGUCGAGGGAGAGGACGUAAAUAUAUGCAAAGUGCACACGAAUCUGAAUGUAGCAGACCCGCUGACUAAACCUCUUCCACGGCCAAAGCAUGAUCAACACCAGAACUGUAUGGGUGUUAGAUUUAUUACAAUGUAAUUCACAUGAUGAUGUGAGGGCUAGAUUAUUGACUCUAGUGCAAGUGGGAGACUGUUGGAAUUAUGCCCNNNNNNNNNNNNNNNNNNNNNNNNNNNNNNNNNNNNNNNNNNNNNNNNNNNNNNNNNNNNNNNNNNNNNNNNNNNNNNNNNNNNNNNNNNNNNNNNNNNNAGCACGUGAUGAUGGCCAUAUCAUGUCACUUAUGAAUUGCAUGUGAUGUUAAUCCUUUUAUGCACCUUAUUUUUCUUAGAACGACGGUAGCAUUAUGAGGUGAUCUCUCACUAAAAUUUCAAGACGAAAUUGUGUUCUCCCCGACUGUGCACCGUUGCAGUUCGUUGUUUCGAGACACCACGUGAUGAUCGGGUGUGAUAGAGUCAACGUUCACAUACAACGGGUGCAAAACAGUUGCACACGCAGAACACUCGGGUUAAGCUUGACGAGCCUAGCAUGUGCAGACAUGGCCUUGGAACACAUGAUACCGAAAGGUCGAUCAUGAAUCAUAUAGUUGAUAUGAUUAGCAUAGGGAUGCUUACCACUGAAACUAUCCUCAACUCACGUGAUGAUCGGACUUGAGCUAGUGGAAUUGGAUCAUGAACAACUCAAAUGACUAGAGAUAUGUACUUUUUGAGUGGGAGUUUAGCAAGUAAUUUCAUUAAGUUAAACUCUAAUUAUCUUGAACAUAGUCUAAGUCCACUUUGAAUAUAUUUGUGUUGUAGAUCAUGGCUCACGCGACAGUCACCUUGAAUUUUAAUACGUUCCUAGAGAAAGCUAAGUUGAAAGAUGAUGGAAGCAACUUUGUAGACUAGGCUCGUAAUCUUAAGUUGAUCCUACAAGCUGGGAAGAAGGAUUAUGUCCUUGAUGCUGCGCUAGGAGAUGAACCACCCGCUACGGCUGACCAAGAUGUUAAGAACGCUUGGUUAUCACGUAAGGAGGACUACUCAGUAGUUCAAUGUGCAGUCUUGUAUGGCUUAGAACCGGGACUUCAACGUCACUUUGAGCGUCAUGGAGCAUUUGAGAUGUUCCAAGAGUUGAAGUUUAUCUUUCAGAAGAACGCCCGGAUCGAGAGGUAUGAGACCUCCGAUAAAUUCUAUGCUUGCAAGAUGGAGGAGAACUCGUCUGUCAGUGAACAUGUGCUCAAAAUGUCUGGGUACUCAAACCAUCUAGCUGAGCUGGGGAUUGAACUCCCGCAAGAGGCUAUCACUGACAGAAUCCUUCAAUCACAGCCGCCAAGCUAUAAAGGCUUUGUGUUGAACUACAACAUGCAAGGGAUGAACAAGUCACCCGGCGAGUUGUUUGCGAUGCUGAAAGUCGCAGAGUCUGAACUCCGUAAAGAACAUCAAGUGUUGAUGGUGAAUAAGACCACUCAUUUCAAGAGAAACGACAAAGGCAAGAAGGGUAAAUCAAAGAAGAUCGGAAAGCCUGUUGCCAAUCCGACGAAGAAACCCAAAGCUGGACCUAAGCCUGAAACAAAGUGUUACUAUUGCAAGGGUAUGGGUCACUGGAAGCGCAAUUGCCCCAAGUAUCUGGCUGAUAAGAAGGCGGCCAAAGAAAAAUCAGGUAUAUUUGAUAUACAUGUUAUUGAUGUGUACUUAACCGGCUCUCGUAGUAGUGCCUGGGUAUUCGAUACCGGUUAUGUUGCUCAUAUUUGCAACUCGAAACAGGAACUACAGAAUAGACGAAGGCUGGCGAACGAUGAAGUGACGAUGCGCAUAGGAAAUAGUUCCAAGGUUGAUGCAAUCGCCGUCGGCACAGUUUCACUUCAGUUACCAUCAGGAUUAGUUAUGAACUUGAAUCAUUGUUAUUUAGUGCCUGCGUUGAGCAUGAACAUUAUAUCUGGAUCUUGUUUAUUGCGAGAUGGUUACUCUUUUAAGUCAGAGAAUAAUGGUUGUUCUCUUUCUAUGAGUAACAUCUUUUAUGGUCAUGCACCCAAUGUGAGAGGAUUGUUCAUAUUGAAUCUUGAUAGCGAUACACACAUACAUAACAUUGAGACCAAAAGAGUUAGAGUUAACAAUGAUAGCGCCAUAUUUUUGUGGCACUGCCGCUUAGGUCAUAUUGGUGUAAAGCGCAUGAAGAAACUCCAUGCCGAUGGACUUUUGGAGUCACUUGACUUUGAUUCACUUGACACGUGCGAACCAUGCCUCAUGGGCAAGAUGACUAAAACUCCGUUCUCCGGAACAAUGGAGCGUGCAAGUGACUUGUUGGAAAUCAUACAUACCGAUGUGUGUGGUCCGAUGAGCGUAGAGGCACGCGGCGGAUAUCGUUAUUUUCUCACCUUCACUGAUGAUUUGAGUAGAUAUGGUUAUGUCUACUUAAUGAAGCACAAGUCUGAAACAUUUGAAAAGUUCAAGCAAUUUCAGAGUGAAGUUGAAAAUCAUCGUAACAAGAAGAUCAAGUUCCUACGGUCUGAUCGUGGGGGUGAAUAUCUGAGUUUCGAGUUUGGUGCUCACUUAAGACAAUGUGGAAUUGUUUCACAGUUGACNNNNNNNNNNNNNNNNNNNNNNNNNNNNNNNNNNNNNNNNNNNNNNNNNNNNNNNNNNNNNNNNNNNNNNNNNNNNNNNNNNNNNNNNNNNNNNNNNNNNUAUAUCACAUCACAUCAUUGGCCAUAUCACAUCACAAGCAUACCCUGCAAAAACAAGUUAGACGUCCUCUAAUUUUGUUGUUGCAUGUUUUACGUGGUGACCAUGGGUAUCUAGUAGGAUCGCAUCUUACUUACGCAAACACCACAACGGAGAUAUAUGAGUUGCUAUUUAACCUCAUCCAAGGACCUCCUCGAUCAAAUCCGAUUCAACUAAAGUUGGAGAAACUGACACCCACCAUUCAUCUUUGAGCAACGGAGUUACUCGUAGCGAUGAAACCAGUCUCUCGUAAGCGUACGAGUAAUGUCGGUCCGAGCCACUUAGAUCCAAUAAUACCGCGGAAUCAAGAAAAUACUAAGGAGGGAAGCAAAACGCACAUCACCGCCCACAAAAACUUUUGUGUUCUACUCGAGAAGACAUCUACGCAUGAACCUAGCUCAUGAUGCCACUGUUGGGGAACGUCGCAUGGGAAACAAAAAUUUUCCUACGCGCACGAAGACCUAUCAUGGUGAUGUCCAUCUACGAGAAGGGAUGUGUGAUCUACGUACCCUUGUAGACCGUACAGCAGAAGCGUUAGUGAACGCGGUUGAUGUAGUGGAACGUCCUCACGUCCCUCGAUCCACCCCGCGAACCGUCCCGCGAUCAGUCCCACGAUCUAGUGCCGAACGGACGGCACCUCCGCGUUCAGCACACAUACAGCUCGACGAUGAUCUCAGCCUUCUUGAUCCAGCAAGAGAGACAGAGAGGUAGAAGAGUUCUCCGGCAGCGUGACGGCGCUCCGGAGGUUGGUGGUGAUCUUAUCUCAGCAGGGCUCCGCCCGAGCUCCGGAGAAACGCGAUCUAGAGGAAAAACCGUGGAGGUAUGUGGUCGGGCUGCCGUGGAAAAGUCGUCUCAAAUCAGCCCUAAAACCUCCGUAUACAUAGGGGGAAGAGGGGGAGCCUUGCCUUGGGGUCCAAGGACCCCUAAGGGUUUCGGCCGAGCCAAAGGAGGCAGCCCUCCCCUUCCAAACCGAGUCCAACUAGGUUUGGAAGGAGGAGUCCUUCCCCCUUUUCCCACCUCCUCUUUUUUUUUCUCUUUGAUUUUUCUUCCUAUGGCGCAUAGGGCUCUUUUGGGCUGUCCCACCAGCCCACUAAGGGCUGGUGCGCCACCCCUAAUGCCUAUGGGCUUCCUCGGGGUGGGUUGCCCCCCCAUUGAACUCCCGGAACCCAUUCGUCAUUCCCGGUACAUUCCCGGUAACUCCGAAAACCUUCCGGUAAUCAAAUGAGGUCAUCCUAUAUAUCAAUCUUCGUUUUCGGACCAUUCCGGAAACCCUCGUGACAUCCUUGAUCUCAUCCGGGACUCCGAACAACAUUCGGUAACCAACCAUAUACCUCAAAUACGCAUAAAACAACGUCGAACCUUAAGUGUGCAGACCCUGCGGGUUCGAGAACUAUGUAGACAUGACCCGAGAGACUCCGUGGUUAAUAUCCAAUAGCGGGACCUGGAUGCCCAUAUUGGAUCCUACAUAUUCUACAAAGAUCUUAUCGUUUGAACCUCAGUGCCAAGGAUUCAUAUAAUCCCGUAUGUCAUUCCCUUCGUCCUUCGGUAUGUUACUUGCCCGAGAUUCGAUCGUUAGUAUCCGCAUACCUAUUUCAAUCUCGUUUACCGGCAAGUCUCUUUACUCGUUCCGUAAUACAAGAUCCCGCAACUUACACAAAGUCACAUUGCUUGCNNNNNNNNNNNNNNNNNNNNNNNNNNNNNNNNNNNNNNNNNNNNNNNNNNNNNNNNNNNNNNNNNNNNNNNNNNNNNNNNNNNNNNNNNNNNNNNNNNNNCUCAUCCGGGACUCCGAACAACAUUCGGUAACCAACCAUAUAACUCAAAUACGCAUAAAACAACGUCGAACCUUAAGUGUGCAGACCCUGCGGGUUCGAGAACUAUGUAGACAUGACCCGAGAGACUCCUCGGUCAAUAUCCAAUAGCGGGACCUGGGUGCCCAUAUUGGAUCCUACAUAUUCUACGAAGAUCUUAUCGUUUGAACCUCAGUGCCAAGGAUUCAUAUAAUCCCGUAUGUCAUUCCCUUUGUCCUUCGGUAUGUUACUUGCCCGAGAUUCGAUCGUCAGUAUCCGCAUACCUAUUUCAAUCUCGUUUACCAGCAAGUCUCUUUACUCGUUCCGUAAUACAAGAUCCCGCAACUUACAAUAAGUUACAUUGCUUGCAAGGCUUGUGUGUGAUGUUGUAUUACCGAGUGGGCCCCGAGAUACCUCUCCGUCACACGGAGUGACAAAUCCCAGUCUUGAUCCAUACUAACUCAACUAACACCUUCGGAGAUACCUGUAGAGCAUCUUUAUAGUCACCCAGUUACGUUGCGACGUUUGAUACACACAAAGCAUUCCUCCGGUGUCAGUGAGUUAUAUGAUCUCAUGGUCAUAGGAAUAAAUACUUGACACGCAGAAAACAGUAGCAACAAAAUGACACGAUCAACAUGCUACGUCUAUUAGUUUGGGUCUAGUCCAUCACGUGAUUCUCCUAAUGACGUGAUCCAGUUAUCAAGCAACAACACCUUGUUGAUAAUCAGAAGACACUGACUAUCUUUGAUCAACUGGCUAGCCAACUAGAGGCUUGCUAGGGACGGUGUUUUGUCUAUGUAUCCACACAUGUAAAUGAGUCUUCAUUCAAUACAAUUAUAGCAUGGAUAAUAAACGAUUAUCUUGAUACAGGAAUUAUAAUAAUAAAUAUAUUUAUUAUUGCCUCUAGGGCAUAAUUCCAACANNNNNNNNNNNNNNNNNNNNNNNNNNNNNNNNNNNNNNNNNNNNNNNNNNNNNNNNNNNNNNNNNNNNNNNNNNNNNNNNNNNNNNNNNNNNNNNNNNNNGCAUGCAAGCUUGGUAGCCGCGGCCUCCCCCUGGCCGCGGCUACAGGGUUUGUGGGCACCUCGUGUGCCACCCGGACUCCGUUUUCUUGCGGAGCACUCCUUCUGGUCCAGAAAAAAUCAUUAUAUAUAUGCCCGAGGGUUUCUAUCUCCGUAUCACGCAGUUUUCCUCUGUUUUUCCUUUCGAGCCUGUUUUGUGCCGCAGAUCUAGGUCAAGAUGUCUUCUCAGGAUUUAGAGGGGGAGAGCUAUGUGGCUGAUUACCUUGCUGACCCCAAGGUCUAUGGGGACUUGGAACCAUAUGGCUGGACCACUGAUGAGGAAGAGGACUAUGAUCCCAAGGGGAAGGAACAAACGAGUUCCGAUGAAGAGGAGGCUCCUCUACCUCAACCUGGACGCACUCAUGUGGAGUUCAAGAAGUCAAGCCUCCCUGACUCAAGGAAGAAGCCUAAGAACUUGUUUAUCCCUUCUCGUUUCUUGCAGGAGAGUAAGCAGUAACUUUGUCAAAGGGUGUUGAAGCUUGAGGAGGAAAAUGAUGAUCUGAGAGAGCAGAAUUUCAUGCUCAAGUGGAAAUUAGACAAGCUCAAGACCUCUGCAACAACUCCUCCGCCACCACCAAAGGAGGACAACUGAGCAUUGGUAUGGGCAAUCCCCUUGGCUUGUGCCAAGCUUGGGGGAGUUGCCCUGGUAUCGUAUCACCUUUAUAUCUUUUGCUUUUACCUUUGUUUUAGUUCUUUCUUUUUCAGUUUUUACUUUCUUCUCUUAGUGGGAUAAGUCUUUAGUGUUUAGUUUGAGUCUUUUGCCUUGUGUCUCCCCCGAUGUAUUCGAGCUUGCGAGCUAUAUAAUAAAGAGUAUCUUAGUCAAGGGCUUUGUUUGUGUCGUGAUCAAAAGUAUGAAAAUAACGAUAGCAUGAAAGAUCAUGAGAUGAUCUUAUGGAAAGUGAUAGCUUCACAUAUAACAAGUAUGAUGAUUGAAACUUGUUGAGAAUAUACCAACAUAGACCCCAGUCAUUGUUGCAAUUAAUAAGAAGUAAUAAGGAAAGAGAGUUUCACAUAUAAAUAUAUCUUCUUAGACACUUUUUUACAAUUGUGAGCACUCAUCAAACUAUUACAUGCUUAGAAGUAGAUGUUGGACAAGGAAGGCAACAAGAUGAAUUGUGUUUGCUUGAUUCCAAACAAUGUUAUAUGAUUAGAGAUCCCUUAGCAGGUGACGAUUGCUUUCACCUCAUAUUAGCCAAAACUCCCGCACCCAGUAGAGAUACUACUUGUGCAUCCAUAAACCUUCAACCCAGUUUUGCCAUGAGUGUCCACCAUACCUACCAAUGGAUUGAAUCAGAUCCCUCAAGUAAGUUGUCAUCGGUGCAAGCAAUAAAAAUUGCUCUCUAAUAUGUAUGAUCUAUUAGUGUGUGGAAAAUAAGCUUUAUAUGAACCUGUGAUGAGGAAGACAUAAAAGCAACAGACUGCAUAAUAAAGUUCUUUAUCAGAGGAGGCAAUAUAAAGUGACGUUCCUCCGCACUAAGAGGACACGCAUCCAAACCUCAAAAGUGCAUGGCAACCUCUGCUUCCCUCUGCGAAGGGCCUAUCUUCUACCUUUACCUUUUGUCCUUGUGAAAGUCAUGGUGAUCAACACCAAUUCCCUUUUCCUUCUUUAUCUUGGUGAACGUCAUAUGCUAGGGAAAGAUCUAUAUUCUUAUAUCAACUUGGAGAUGAGUACUUAUGCUUUAUUAUUGUUGACUUUACCCUUGAGGUAAAUGGUUGGGAGGCAAAAUUAUAAGCACUAUCUUUCUCUGUGUCCAACUGAAACUUUGAUACCAUGAGUACCACGUGAGUUGUAACAAUUGUGGAAAACGAAAAAGAUGAUUGAGUAUGUGGAUUUGCUUUACAAGCUCUUAUUUCACUCUUUCUGAUGUUAUGAUAAAUUGCAAUUGCUUCAAUGACUAUGGACUGUUGUUGGCUACUUCUCGGUAAGGUUUUUGAUUCAUACUUUGCUUUGUGAAGGAAUUGUUACUUUCCCAUAAGAAUCUUUAUGAUGUAUUGCUGUUCUAUGUGUGAUCAUGAUGCCCUCAUGUCCUUAUUAUGUUUUAUCGACACCUUCAUCCCUAAACAUGUGGACAUGUUUAUGGAUCUUGGUUUUCGCUUGAGGACAAGCGAGGACUAAGCUUGGGGGAGUUGAUACGUCCAUUUUGCAUCAUGCUUUCAUGUUGAUAUGUAUCACUUUAUGGACUGUUAUUAUACUUUGUGGUACCAUACUUAUGCCUUUUCUCUCUUAUUUUGCAAGGUUUAUUUGAAGAGGGAGAAUACCGGCAGCUGGAAUUCUGGACUGGAAAAGGAGCAAGUCUGAGUCCUCUAUUCUGCGCAACUCCAAAUGCCCUGAAAAUCAACGUGGAAUUUAUUGGGAUUAUAUAAAAAAUAUUGGGCGAAAGAAGUGCCAGAGGGGAGUUGCCACGGGCCCACAAGCCUGGUAGCCGCGACCUGCCCCCCUGGCCGCGGCUACAGGGCUUGUGGGCACCCUGGUGGCCCACUGGCCCCCCUCUUCUGCUAUAUGAAGGGUUUCGUCCGGAAAAAAAAUCAGGGCGGAGCUUUUUCGUGGAUUCUCCGCCGCCACGAGGCGGAACUUGAGCAGAACCAAUCUAGAGCUCCGGCAGGACGAUCCUGUCGGGGAAACUUCCCUCCCGAAGGGGGAAAUCAUCGCCAUCGUCACCACCAACACUCCUCUCAUUGGAGGGGACUCGUCACCAUUAACAUCUUCAUCAGCACCAUCUCAUCUCCAAACCCUAGUUCAUCACUUGUAACCAAUCUCCGUCUCGCGACUCCGAUUGGUACUUGUAAGGUUGCUAGUAGUGUUGAUUACUCUUUGUAGUUGAUGCUAGUUGGAUUACUUGGUGGAAGAGUUUAUGUUCAGAUCCUUGAGACUACUCAUUACCUCUCUGAUCAUGAUUAUGAUUAUGUUUUGUGAGUAGUUACUUUUGUUCCUGAGGACAUGGGAUAAGUCAUGCUAAUAGUAGUCAUGUGAAUUUGGUAUUCGUUCGAUAUUUUGAUGUGUUGUAUGUUGUUUUUCCUCUAGUGGUGUUAUGUGAACGUCGAAUACAUAACACUUCACCAUUAUUUGGGCCUAGAGGAAGGCAUUGGGGAGUAGUAAGUAGAUGAUGGGUUGCUAGAGUGACAGAAGCUUAAACCCCAGUCUAUGCGUUGCUUCGUAAGGGGCUGAUUUGGAUCCACUAGUUUAAUGCUAUGGUUAGACGUUGUCUUAAUUCUUCUUUCAUAGUCGUGGAUGCUUGCGAGAGGGGUUAAUCAUAAGUGGGAUGCUUGUCCAAGUAAGGGCAGUACCCAAGCGACGGUCCACCCACAUAUCAAACUAUCAAAGUAACGAACGCGAAUCAUAUGAACAUGAUGAAACUAGCAUGACAGAAAUUCCCGUGUGUCCUCGGGAGCGUUUUUCCUCCUAUAAGACUUUGUUCAGGCUUGUCCCUUGCUACAAAAGGGUUUGGGCCACUUCGCUGCACCGUUGCUAUUACUUGUUACUUGUUACUUUUCACCUGCUAUGUUUCACCUCACUACACCAUCACUUGUUAGCGCUACUUUCAGUGCUUGCAGUUAUUACCUUGCUGAAAACCGUUUAUCAGAGCCUUCUGCUCCUCGUUGGGUUCGACACUCUUACUUAUCGGAAGGACUACGAUUGAUCCCCUAUACUUGUGGGUCAUCAGGAUGAUCGAGCAUAGCCAGACAAUAUGAUUUUGUAGGGAUAACUUUCUUUGGCCUUGUAAUUUCGAAAGUUCAUGAUCACUUUGCUAGUUUGCUUGAAGUAUUUUUUUUUCAUGUCAAUAGUAAACUGUUGUUUUGAAUCUUACGGAUCUGAACAUUCAUGUCACAAGGAAGAAGUUACAAAGGACAAAUAUGUUAGGUAGCAUUCCACAUCAAAAAUUCAGUCUUUAUCACUUCCCUACUCGAGGACGGGCAGGAGUUAAGCUUGGGGAUGCUUGAUACGUAUCCAACGUAUCUAUAAUUUUUGAUGGUUCCAUGCUAUUAUCUUGUCAAGUUUGGAUGUUUUGUAUGCAUGAAUAUGCUAUUUUAUAUCUUUUUGGGACUAACCUAUUAACUCAGUGCCAAGUGCCAGUUCCUGUUUUUCCCGUGUUUUGACCCUUUUCAGAGGAGAAUAUCAAACAGAGUCCAAAUGGAAUAAAAUCUUCAGAAUGAUUUUAUCCGUAAUAGAAGAUACGCAGGGAACUUGAGAACAAAGGCAAAGGACCCCGGGGGAGGCCACAAGCCCCCUAGCCGCGACCGGGGGGGGGGGCGCCUACCAGGCUUGUGGGCCCCCCGUGGCUCCUUUGCCCUACUUCUUCCGCCUGUAAAUUCCCUAAAAAACCAAAACUGCCAGAGAGAGCCACGAAAAUACUUUUCCGUUGCCGCAAGCUUCUAUCUCCGUAAGAUCCCAUUUGGGGACCGUUCUGGUUCCCUGCCGGAGGGUGGAUUCGGACACGGAGGGCUUCUUCAUCAACACCAUUACCUCUCCGAUGAUGCGUGAGUAGUUCACCACAGACCUUUGGGUCCAUAGCUAGUAGCUAGAUGGCUUCUUCUCUCUCUUGGAUCUUCAAUACAAAGUUCUCCAUGAUCUUCAUGGAGAUCUAUCCGAUGUAAUCUUCUUUUGCGGUGUGUUUGUCGAUAUCCGAUGAAUUGUGGAUUUAUGAUCAGAUUAUCUAUGAAUAUUAUUUGAGUUUCCUCUGAUCUCAUAUAUGCAUGAUUUCGUAUCCUUGUAAUUCUCUUCGAGUUGUGGGUUUCGUUUGGCCAACUUGAUCUAUAAUUCUUGCAAUGGGAGAAGUGCUUGGUUUUGGGUUCAUACCGUGCGGUGUCCUCACCCAGUGACAGAAGGGGUAGCGAGGCACGCAUCAUGUUGUUGCCAUCAAGGGCAAAAAGAUGGGGUUUAUAUCUAUUGCAUGAAUUUAUCCCUCUACAUCAUGUCAUCUUGCUUAAGGCGUUACUCUGUUUGUUAUGAACUCAAUACACUAUAUGCAUGCUGGAUAGCGGUCGAUGUGUGGAGUAAUAGUAGUAGAUGCAGAAAGUAUCGGUCUACUUAUCUCGGACGUGAUUCCUAUAUGUAUGAUCAUUGCCUUAGAUAUCAUCAUGACUUUGCGCGGUUCUAUCAAUUGCUCGACAGUAAUUCGUUCACCCACCAUAAUAUUUGCUAUCAUGAGAGAAGCCUCUAGUGGACACUAUGGGCCCCGGGUCUACUUCACAUCAUAUUUUCAGCUCUACACUUUUACUUUGUUGCACUUUCCACCUUCAUAUCUCACCUUGCAAUUAAUCGUGAAGGGAUUGACAACCCCUUUAUAGCGUUGGGUGCAAGUUUGCUUGUUUUUGCGCAGGUACAUUGGUGACUUGCCUUAAUACUCCUACUGGAUUGAUACCUUGGUUCUCAAACUGAGGGAAAUACUUACUGCUACUGUGCUGCAUCACCCUUUCCUCUUCAAGGGAAAACCAACGCAAGCUCAAGAGGUAGCAAGAAGCCACAAGUAUGAUGCAACUGUCUCGUCCGACACUAGACCGACCCCAAACAAAACUAUGUUGCGGUGAUGGUUCAGGCCGACGAAUGGAACAAACAGAAGCCUAUACUUGUUAGAACGAUAUGUACUGUCGAACACCACGACACCACCAGAGACAACAUAGUCAAUACGGGAUUGUGGAUCAGCCCAGAAUAUGUUCCUCAAAUGGCCUUCGCUGUCUUUUGUGUAUUUGAAAAAGAAUUUUGGGUCUGAUUUUUUCAGUGCAAUCAUGUAGGUGAGCAAAUAUCUAGCAUUAUUGCCUUCUAUCUUGCGCUUCUUCUGGAUUGAAACAUGGUUCUAUAGGUCUCGAUCUAUAAAUCCAAGCUUGUCGGGACCUCCGGCAUUCUUCUCCAUUACAUUCAUAAUCUGAUGUGUUUGAAGUCCACCGACAGCAUACUCGAUGACAUCGGCCUUUUGUUCGUCAGUCAUUCUACGAUGAGACGAUAAGUAGGGAGUCAGGUCAGCAGGGACAAACAGAUGGUUAUGCUUGUCCACAAAAUUCUUGACGAACCAUAAGCCACUGCUAUCUUGUAGCUCAACCGGAAAAAGAGCGGGACACCCACACCGAGAAAGACCCCUCGGUGUUCUUUUUUUUCAGCUCUUUUAAAGUGCUUAAGGGUCUGCCAUCCUUGUUUGCAGCACUUGUGUGUCCUUCUGUAUGCAUUUUGUUUCGGACCCGGACCCCUGUACUUCAGAUCAUCCUUUCUAACACCAAACCCUUUUUUCUGGCAUAGCCUACGUAAAACAUGUAGGCUUCUACCUCAGUCCCGAAAGUCUUAUUUGCAAUCUCUAAGUAUUCCAUAUACUCAUUCACGUCUGAACCAACCAUGCCUUUAUUAUCAAUUUCUUUACCUUGCAAGUGUACAUCAUCCAUGUCUAUGCCAUCCUUGCAUGCAUACUCAUCUUUAUCAUCCAUUCAUGUACCAUCCAUUCCUUUGGGGUCCAUGGCUACGAAAUCAUUAUCCUUAUCAUCCAUGCAUUUGCCUUCGCUUCCUCUCUCACCCAUGUCCUUGUCAUCCUUGCGUGUAUCCCCCAAAUUUUCGCCAUCGUUGUCUUUAUCAUCCAUGUCGUUAUGCUGCCAACGAAAACAUAUAGUCAAUGUUAUAGAUGGAUAGCAUAAGUAAUAAUUAUGCACUACUCUCCUUAAAUAAUUGAUUUAAGUUUUCAUAUCGGAUUCAUGUAUCUAACCAAGUCCUUCAAAAUCUGUAAGUAAGUAUAAAAUAUGCCCUGACUGAAUCCAUAAAUAUUUAAUUGAUUGUACUUGCUGUAACUGAUGAUCUCCUAACUAAAUCCAAAGUCCACAAAUCCUUCAAGUCCCCUGAUAGAUCCACCCUGAUUGAUCAAUUAUCUCCAAACUCCAUUCAAAUUUUUCUCCUAACUAAAUCCAAAAUUAUGACCUAAGUAAAUCCAAAUUAUCUCCUAACUAAAUCCAAAAUAACUCCAAACUCCCUACAAAAAUAUUUGUCUCCUAACUAAAUCCAAAAUAUCUCGCAACUCAAUUCAAAAGUAUCUCCUAACUAAAUCCAAAAUAACUCCAAACUCCCUACAAAAAUAAUUAUCUCCUAACUAAAUCCAAAAUAUCUCGAAACUCAAUUCAAAAGUAUCUCCUAACUAAAUUCAAAAUAACUUUCUUUGAAUCCAAAUCUGCUGACAACUUUCUCAUGCCACAUAACCCUAACUAACUCCAUCAAUAUGUCCUAUGCAGAAGGGACGAGACAAGAUGAGAGAUUGCAGCGGCACUUACAUCUCAGAGGUGGUUGCGAAGAUCCGACGGGAUGGACAGCGAUGACGAUGAUCUGGCCUCGCGUCAGGGAAGGGGCGUCCAAUCGGGGACGGAGGGGAUUAGGCUGCUCGUCGGAAGAUCUGGCGCCACAUAACCCGAGGGGGAUCGCCUCCGAGCGAGGGGGUGGAGGAGGAGAAGGAGAAGGAGGGACUGGUGCGAGGGAGGGGGUGAAGGGGGAGAAGGAGGAGGAGGGAGUGGCAUGACGUGAUAGGGUUCAAGAGGAGCUGACGAACCACUCUGACGCAAUUCAAGUGUUAUGUUAAUGCAAUUAUUAAUUUGAAAUUUUAGGACAAAAAUGCCCCUAGACUUAAUUGGGCCACCCUAAACUUUAAUAUUCUUAGGUCGAAAAUGCUCUUGGGCUUUAAUAAGGCCCAAUUGAUAUCAUCUGUUGGAUCGCUUAUAUAAUACACGUGUUGUCGUAUAUUAUAAUGUGCCGUAAAAUCUCCCUCUUAAUUAAUUUUUUUUGGGACAAACAAGCAGGCGAUGAAUGUCGAAUAGCCAUAUGGUAAUGUACGCCGGACGAAGACAGAAGAAGAUGGACAAAAGACAUUGUGGUUAUGAUGCGAAACACCAUGAUCAUCGAACAAUCUGUAUGUUGGCCUCCAUUUAACUUAAUUUAAACUGGACUCGGCACGUACCGACAAACCUUAUAUCAGUAUACUACAACCACAUUUAAACUGGACUCGGAACAUGCCCAUAACUUAAUUUAAACUUGAUAUAUUACUAGAAAUAGUUAAGAAUUAAAUGAGUUCUAAAAUUGUGUGAGUAGAGAUAAGAUCAAUUGUGGUAGAUGCAAUAUUUUACUUGAUGUUCUUGUUUUCUUUCCAUGGGUGUUGCUUCAUUUCAGUUCAUUUGCGGCAUGAUUUGACAAUCGAUUGGCUCUGGCUAUCAAUGAUUGGCAAAAAAUUCUUUGGACUACAUCUUAGUCAAGAAUAGUGAACCGUCGCAAACACGAGAGGGCAUAAAGAUAUUUGAUCUUCAUAUGGGUCACGCGUAUUGACGAAUUUUAGUGUGGGCUAGAGACUUUUAGUUAAGUCUCUUCCCUCACCCCCAAUAAGAAAGUUAAUCUAGCAACAAGGAUAAUCAUACUUGAUUAUGGACGCAGGUAGCUAGUGUUCUCCGAAACCCUAGAAGCCACGUAAUUUAAAUCUGCCAAACAGAUUAGAGGACGCCUAACUUGAUUUUGCGGGAUACAUGUCAUGUUGUAUAAUCUUCGUCAUGAUAAUGAGUUUAUGUAUGAGAUGGCUACAUAAUGUAGCAUUAGAUGACAUACACGUCAUAAUACGAAAUGAUGGUUGGGGCCAAGGGAUUUUCACUUUAAUUACGAGUGUGUCAACUUUGUUAUUUUAUUUUUAUCGACUGGAGUGAUGGACGUGCUACGGAGGAGCCCAGAGUAAGGUGGCUUUACUAGGCGCAAGAGAUCAUGGUGGUGGCUACGACAUCACUCUAGAGUAGUUCAUGAAGACCUUGGAGGAUCAUGACCACAUCCCCGACGCCAAGGGCUAUAUUAUAUCAUUGUAUUAUGAAUAGACUGAUAUGUUUAUCCCAUUGUUGUUUGCACCCUUUGAUUGUGCGGUAGUCAAUUAUUAGGGUGACCUCACACUAGAAAGCAUCAAGUUGUUAGUGCUCUUCCUAGUGUAGCAACCAUCUAUAACACGUAGCUUUUCGUGGUACGUCAUGUCCACAUGAGUACUUUGGAUCGCGGGUGUAAGGCGGGUGAAGGCAUGGCAGAAACACUUAGUUGUCUUGAAGUUCUAGUAAAAUCAUUGUGCACAAAGCAUCGAAAAACAAACAAGAGUCACAUGGAGAUAUGAUCGGCAAAAUUUGCCUACCUCUUGAAGUUCACGUCAUCAGUGAUGCCCACAUCAAUGGUUGUGAAUAAUAUUAGGGUCUUGAAUCACUUAAAUCAAUUAUGAGAGAUAUUGGUUUGAGUGAGAGCACAAUUAUGAAUUAAUUAAGUUUAAUCAUAAGUGCAUAUAAUUAUGGGUUAACUUAAGCGAAAUUAGAAGGACACAUCUUAAAGCGAAACUAUCGGUUAACUUCUUCUUGAGCUAGCUCCUUUCUCCUUGUUGUUUUUUCUCCCUUGAUAUUUCCCUAUGAUAUUUCAAUACAAGGUCAAUUUUGGUACCAGUGUAAUAGAAAAUAGAGUGUAUUGGAAAAAAUAGCGGAAAUAAUUUCAUCACCUAGGGAUAUUUUAGUAGCUCUUAAAAUAGAACAUUAGAAGGAUAAUUAUUUAUUAUGUGUAUGAGAUAGGAAAAUUUACCAUAUGGCAGGUGUAUAGUCUAUAUUUCCUAAUUUUGCAUCUUCCUUCAUUGACUCACUGGUGAGGCGUGCAUGAUUGUGUCUUUCAGCCCCAUCUUAAUUCAUCCUAUUGCGUCAGAUAUCCAGGGACCAUCGUGUAUGUAGUGUGUCAUCCUGAAGGAAGGGAUUACAAAUUUAGAGCAAGUUCUGAAAAGUGACGGUGUAUAAUUGUAAUACUUAAAAUAAACAAAUGCAUGUUCUAACAUGCCGAAAGAAGGCACUAAAAAGUAUAUAGUUCUUCCUUUGUGUUUCCGUAGCCAAGUUUAGCCCAAGGUUCAAAAAAAAUAUAACGCAAUUCACUACGACAAUAGAAGAAAUGUUGAAGAGUACAAUUACAACUCUAAAAUUGAACCUAUUCAUAAGCAUGUGACAAUUGUAGGCUCAUAAGAGAAAUAAUAGAUGAGAAGAACAACCAAGUCAAAUUUAGGUAGAUUUUAAAACUAGGUAAAUAGGAACUUGCAAUGUAAUAUAAAAAUUGCAGACAAUGAUGAAGAUGAAGGAACCUUAUUGAUCAAAGAAGACAUUUAGGAUCAAAUGCAACUUGACACCAUGCAUGAUGAAGCAUUAGGUGAAAGCGGCGCAUUUUUCGGAUAAUCCAUGUUGCAUUCCAAUAGUUACAAAACAUAAAUAGUGAUGCCAAAUUGGGAUGAAAAAUGAGAAAAAGAAAUAGUUGUGAGAGGUCUUUGUAUUUGCACUUCACGUACUACCUUCGUACUUGUGUAAACUGGUCAUCUUUAAACAUGAUCAACUCCCAACACUGUAUGACCAAUCAUGCCAACUGCAUUGCAACUUGUUCUCGUGUCUCCUCUUACUUCACAUUUCACUUACUCCCUCCAUCUCGGUUUAUAAGUCUUCCUAGGUUGUGCACCGUAACCAAGACGGAAAGUAAAACAAGAGAAAUUAAUGUUAACUUGCUAAUUAAUACGAUUGCAUGCAAUGAAUUGACUAAUGCAUGUCGUGCUAGUUAGUAUCAAGUCAUUAAAAACACACAUGUCCCCCGUCUCUUAUUGGUUGAUUUUUUUAUUCAAGUCAAAAAAACAAACGAGGUGAAAGUUAAUGUAUUGUGCCUUAGUGUUUUGGGAUUAUUUGAUUUUCGUAAGAUAACUUAUAAAUCGAGAUGGAGGAAGUACUAAAUUUAUCAAGCAUGGAAUUUAUGUUAUGUAAUGAGCAUUUUUAUAGUCAGAAAAAGAUUUUUUAGUCAAACAUACGAAUGGUAGACUUUUGGUGCACCUUUAAAGAUCAUUAAUGCGAAAUACCAUAGGAAUUCGGUCUUUUAUGGUCUUUUGUGUUAGUUUUCGGUCACACAAAGAGAUCGUUGUAAUGUCCUCCUCCUUCUGGUGCACUGGCAUUUGGUCUGGCGUCUGCCGAAACCGACUUAUCCAUGGACUUGUUUUAUGGGCACGGAAGAAACACAAAAGGUUGAUUUUUUUUUUCUAGUUUAAAAGAAAAGGUUGAUUUUUUCCUUUUUAUAGAACUUCAUUCAACACAAAAUAGCAAGCUGUUUUGAUGCACCUUUCCGUUCGUAAAGGAUGACGAGGCAUCAAUCAUCUCAUUUUUUCCAGCUUUAAAUAAACUAUGAAGAUCGGCUGGGCUAGCAAAUCCACUAGCAUGGGCACCGACCACUAAUAAUGGGCCAAAGCAUUUGUCUAAGUUUAUACUUCCUCCAUCCCUUUAUACAAGGCCAUCAUGAAAGAUAUAUUUUACAUACAUCUAUAUAAAGCUACUAACAGUUAGUAAGGCAAAAAUUAAUGUUGUUCUCUUGUAGUAACAACUUACUCCCUCCAUUCCUUUAUGAACUAACAGUUAGUAAGGUAAAAAUUAAUGUUGUUCUCUUGUAGUAACAACUUACUCUCUUCAUUUCUUUAUGAAAGGUCUAUUAUUUUCGCGCAUAAUUAUACAUGUUAAGACAAAAUUAACCUUGGCUAAAUCAUUGAUUAGAGGCAAUAAAAUUAUUUAGGCUAGAAAAGUAAGAGAUACACAUGAGAGAUUCUUUCCUUCUUCUCUUUAUAAUAAGAGAUGCAUGCAAUCAGAGGAGAGAUAUUUCUUUUUUUAAGGGCUAAUGAUGGAAUUACAAAGAAUUAGAAGAAAUGCACCUUACAUUGUGAAAUUUUAUCAAAAAACAAAUACACCUUAUAAAGGUUCCUUUAUGAAAGGUGUAUUAUUUUCGCGCAUAAUUAUACAUGUUAAGAUAAAAUUAACCUUGGCUAAAUCAUUGAUUAGAGGCAAUAAAAUUAUUUAGGCUAGGAAAGUAAGAGAUACACAUGAGAGAGAUUCUUUCCUUCUUCUCUUUAUAAUAAGAGGUGCAUGCAAUCAGAGGAGAGAUUUCUUUUUUUAAGGGCUAAUGAUGAAAUUACAAAGAAUUAGAAGAAAUGCACCUUACAUGUGAAAUUUUAUAAAAAAAUAAAUACACCUUAUAAAAAGGAACAGAGGGAGUAUUUAAUAAGUACUACAUGUAGUCAUAAUGACACAUAGUUUUUUUCCUUCUCAUUCCUUUCUUGAAUAAUGGUCCUGGUUAAUGAAAAAGAAAAUUUGAUUUACAAAACAGUCAUUAAUUUUUACCUUGUUAAAUAUGAGUUUGUGGCUUUUAUAGAGGAAUGGAGGGAGUAGCGGAUAUUUUGUCUGUUGGUGUGGCAAUGCGACGUAAUCCGUAAAUGCUAAAAUGCCGGCCUACCAACUACCCCUCCGGGAUAAAGAUUUCGAUGGUCCCAGUGGCUGCUUAUGGUGUGCCGCGUGCCCCGUGUGUCCCUCGUUGAAACGGGCCGGUGAUCUAACACUGAAGCAGCAGCAAUUAGCACAGAGCAUACAAGGCAUCAGAUUUGAGCAAGACGACUAUAUUACCGAAGAGCAAUACAAGAUACAGUGGUCAGUGGACACUGUGACACUACUGAGCCCAGUGGGGUACCAGCCACAGCACACUUCCGACUUAACCUGACGCGACUCACCGUAGAGUACCAACUGACUACCAGCUACGAUUCUACGAAGCACACAUGACCAUACUACGUACGAUCGCCUACGUGCGCCUGAACUACUACAUUAUUCGGUGCAUGGACACUAGGGUAAACCAACGGCCGACCUAAGCAGAGUCGUCUUGCUUGCUAGGCUACGUACGCACUGGUCGAUUCAUCAUCUAGGACUUAGUCUUGAACUUGGACUCG